Molecule: long non-coding RNA, 45781 nt
Filed under: Brassica napus (rape)
Lineage: Eukaryota; Viridiplantae; Streptophyta; Magnoliopsida; Brassicales; Brassicaceae
Description: long non-coding RNA (BNAP_LNC001965)
Source: RNAcentral
CAAGAGUCCAAGACGAUGAAGGCAUAUACCAUCAAAGCCUUGCAAGGAAAAAUUAAUUGACACUUCUAGUGUUGUAUUAUUGUGAAUAUAAUAUGGAAAUGUGAAGCUCGGUACACAGUUACUUUUUACUACCAAGUUCCAUCGACUGGCAAAAUUUACAAAGCGGAUCAACAUUACAAAAGAGCAACAAUACAUUGGUUGAAUGUAAAUAAACGAGCUACUAAAUUGCAAUCUCAUAAAUGGUAAUAAAGUAGCAAGUUCCAGUUGAUGACUGAAAGUUCUUGAGAAUCACGGCUGAGUAAAAGAAAGCCCUGUUUAUUCCUGUGUAAAUAAUACAUUCUCUUAUAUUGUAAAGAAUAAUAACAGAAAGAGAUUGGCGUAAAUGCUAGACCAUCUAUCACUAUGACUAUUAGGCAUUGCUUUCAGACACAAAUCAUAGUUCCACAAAGACAAGUUUGAAGAUUUAUAAACAUCAUCAAAUCACACACCAAUGGAAGAAUAACAGAAUCAUAUUAGAGCAAAACAAGACAAUCAAUAAAACUAAUCGAGUAAUUCAAUGGUGGAAUCAGAAUAUCAAUAAGCAAAAUAAGGUACAUGGUACAAUUCAAUUUGUUCCUCAUUUCCCACCAUUUCAACAAAUAAAAACCAGAAAAAAAAACAGCAGGCCAAUCAAUAAAACUAAUACAACAAGUAAUUCAACAGUGAAAUCAGAAUAUCAAUAAGCAAAUAAGGUACAUGGUACCAAAACAUUAAAGUCUUGAUUCACAUUAUAUUUCUUCCUCAUUUUCCACCAUUCCGACAGGACAAAAAAAACAGAACAAUCAAUCAAAGCCAACAACAAUAAUAUGUAUCCGACCAGAUAAUGAAGCACGAGAUACGGAAUGGUCGAAUUAGAAUCUGAAAAUCCCCAAACGCUUAUCUCUAACAGAUUAAAAGCUGUAACACUUAAUAUUCAAAGAGUACGACGAAUAGGGAUCUUGAUUCCAGAUUCUAAUGUCGAAGAGCCUCGAGCUGAUAAAAAAAUCAGGAAGGGAGAUGACAGGUAAGUUAACUAGGAGAACCCUAAUUAAACAAACCCUAUAAAAAAAUUCGAUUUAGCGCAGCUAUGACUCGACACGCUUCCAUUGAGAGUUUGUGGAAGGCGAUCUUAAGGGCUGCGCAAUCGAAAACUCCUAAUUCGAAAACAUAAACCCUAAUUUGCUCCCAAUACUCUAGCAAUUGAGAAGAGAAGCGAGAAAGUGAUAUAUAGUGGAGACAGUGUUUUUUUACCCUAGUCCAACUUAAGGCCUAUUACAUAUAAAACUUAUUGUAGGCCCAUUAAGCCCAUCGUUUGUAAAGCCCAAUAAUGUCUACGACGUGUUAAAAAUAUAUGGAUAAAAUUAAACUGAUUUUUGUUAGUACAGUUCUUAACCAACAUUUACGUUUUCACUAUCCCUUAUUAAUAAACAAAUCUCAUACAGAUAAACAUACACUACAGCAUUAUAAUACAUGUAUAUUUACUUCCCAAAACAGCUAUUUCCCAAAUUAAAAAACAAAUAUUCAGUUAUAGAAAGCAUUCCAUUAAUAGAAUCAAAUAAAAAUCACCCUUUACCCCUUGCAUACAUUUACACAACCACAUCCUCUCCUCUCCUUAUCACAAAACACACAACAAGAACAAUAAGUUUGUGAGCCGACAUGAGUCCCCUCCAAACUGAUCAGCUUGGUGAGCCGUCGCCAAUGAGAAAGAUGAUCUCAGUGUCUUCGAUCGCUGCUGGGGUGCAGUUUGGCUGGGCGUUACAGCUAUCUCUCCUCACACCCUACGUGCAGCUUCUCGGCAUCCCACACAAGUGGUCGUCCCUCAUCUGGCUAUGCGGUCCCAUCUCCGGCAUGCUUGUCCAGCCGACCGUCGGUUACUACAGCGACCGAUGCACGUCCAAGUUCGGUCGUCGGCGUCCUUUUAUCGCGUCGGGAGCGGUACUCGUCGCAGUCGCGGGGAUCUUGAUCGGAUACGCCGCUGAUCUCGGACGAGUACUUGGAGACAAACUCGAGGAGACAGUGAAGGUGCGUGCGAUAUGCAUCUUCGCUCUCGGGUUCUGGAUCCUCGACGUAGCUAACAACACUCUCCAAGGCCCUUGCCGCGCUUUCCUCGCGGACUUGGCCGCGGGGGACGCGAGGAAAACGCGGACCGCAAACGCGUUUUUCUCGUUCUUCAUGGCGGUUGGAAACAUAUUGGGAUACGCGGCGGGUUCUUACACCAACCUUCACAAGAUCUUUCCCUUCACGAUGACUGAAGCUUGUGAUAUUUAUUGUGCCAAUCUCAAGAGCUGUUUCUUCCUCUCCAUCAUUUUACUUUUGUUUGUCACCGUUUCAUCGUUAGGGUACGUUAAAGACAAGCAAUGGUCGCCGGAGGAAGCAGACUCCGACGUGAAAACGCCCUUCUUCGGGGAGGUCUUUGGAGCUUUCAAGGUGAUGGAACGUCCCAUGUGGAUGUUAAUAAUAGUCACGGCGUUGAACUGGAUCGCGUGGUUCCCUUUUCUUCUGUUCGAUACUGAUUGGAUGGGUCGUGAGGUGUACGGUGGAGACUCGAGCGGAAACGAGAGUUCGAAGAGGCUUUACAACCAGGGAGUCCACGCUGGUGCGUUGGGACUGAUGAUAAAUGCGAUCGUUCUUGGGUUCAUGUCGCUUGGUGUUGAAUGGAUUGGUCGGAAAAUGGGAGGAGCUAAACGGCUUUGGGGAGUUGUGAACUUUAUUCUUGCUGUGUGUUUGGCCAUGACGGUUUUGGUUACAAAGUUGGCGGAUGCUCACAGGAAAACCGCCGGUGUUUUAGCCGGUCCGACCGAUGGCAUUAGAGCUGGGGCAUUGACUCUCUUUGGUAUUCUUGGUAUUCCACUUGCUGUAAGUCUCCAUCUUGUCUCCUUUCGCAUUUUUUGCUACUCUUAUUAUAUAUCCAUUCGUUAAUUUAUUCUGUUGGUAAUAUAGGUUACGUUUAGUAUUCCGUUUGCACUAGCUUCCAUAAUCUCAAGCAACUCUGGCGCUGGCCAAGGUAUUUUAAAUUUCUUUUCAUAUAUAUUUUUUAAUUAUUUAUGGGUUUUGGUCAAGCAUACCAACUUUACCAUGUCCCAACGUAUAGGGCUUUCCCUGGGAGUUCUAAAUCUGGCAAUCGUGAUACCACAAAUGGUGGUGUCACUUGGAGCUGGACAGUUCGAUUCUUGGUUCGGAGGUGGAAACCUACCAGGAUUUGUGGUCGGAGCAAUUGCAGCGGCAAUCAGUGGUGUAGUGGCAAUAACUGUUCUACCUUGAUUAGAUCUAUGUUAUGUGUGUUUAUCACGGCCGGCUUUAGUAUUUUAAUACCCCUAUAGACCAAGAAAGAGUUAUAAGGCCAAGUUUGAAUUAUGUUUAUCUGUCUGUCAAAACCUUGUAAUUUUACAUAUAUUUGGUAUGAACUAUUCAUUUGUCUUUUUUUCUUUUUUUAAUUAAAUUAAAUCCAUUAAAACGAUUCUUCCUAGAAAAACAAUGCUCGCAGAAGAAGCUACACUGUUUCAUAUAAUGUCUGUACAAAAAACACAAAAGAUGCAUAACAUAAUGGUAGUAAACAAAAGGUAAAGCAUGUGAUCAUUUAAAUGAAUGUGAAACAUGUCCGGAUGUGAGAUUAGGAUAUGAUCAUUUAAAUGAAAUCUGAAAGAUGCAUUGAACUUUGAGUAGAAUACAUAUAACAGUUAUAUUUGAGAGUUUGACAAGAGGAGUACCAGUACCACUAAUGGUGCUCUAAGGUAUAGCCAAGUCGCUCUCUAUCUCUCUCUCUUUGGAUCGGUCGGUCAUUAUAUUAGUUUAACUCAAUAGAUCGGUGUAUACCGAACGAGAAAUGAAACUUUCGAUUUUAGUUUAAUUGAAAUAAAAUUUCAUAUAUACUACUAGAACUAUGGUUGACCAAAUUUUUUGAGAGAGAGAGAAGUCUAGGUUUGAAACUUUAUAUUAAUAUUUAACACAAUCACAUUGAUAUAUAUAUAUAUAUAUAUAUAUAUUGAUGUAACUCAAUGCCCAAUCAAAAUAAAUGUGUUUGUCAAAAUUAAAGGGGUUGAUUGGGUUUGGGAUACAAUAAUUAAGAUCAUCGAAUAAAAUUUAACCCUCGGCAAUAUGCAGAUGGUAGUCGCCUAGCUACUUAUUGGCACUACUCCGUAUAGGACAGAAGUAGUCAAAGCAUAUUCCACAAGCAACUUUUCCGCCUUCAGAAUAUGGUAAACCAACUCACAAAAAAAAGAAAAAAAACAUGGAUAUCUUUGUAAAGUGGGAGGCUCACAUUUCCGGCCUGGUAGACGAUAUCCACUUGACCCAGUUUGCCGACACUUGCUGGAGUUUCAGACUCACCCGGCAGAUGAAUGCGACUUUCCGUCUUGCCCUAUUACUCGGUAGAGUCUCUGAGUGUGUGGCACUUCAUCUGCAAUAUGAGAAGAAUGGGUGCGCUAACAGGCUCCAUGGCUAUCCAAGGGCUCAUUACCGCAGUGCCCUUCCUGACCGCUUAUGGGUUGAUUUUGGAGAGCGAUUUUUACCAUCGGUGUGAUCGUAUUAGUGGGCUCCCUUUACCAUCGGCUCCUGUAACGAUGAUUUUCCUUUUGUUAUAUUGUUUUCCAUUUUUUUUUUCUACUGGUGUGAUCUUGUUUUAAUUUUGUUUGUUUUUUAAUAUAGAGAUUUCCUCGGUUUGUGGUGUCGGAAAUGAAGAUUCAUAGACUCCAUGAAUAUCAAAGUAAUAACGAGUUCGAGACAGCAUUUUUCUCCGCACUGAAUUACUCUCUGGUCGCGGCUGUAAUCCCAUGUUACCCAUCCUUGGACGCAUUUAGAUCCUCACCUCAUAACGUUAGUCUUAACUCAAAAGCUUAUUAACUCUUAUAAUUGAGGGGUCUACUUUUAUAAUUCAAUCAAUUGGUUAAACAAAGUACUUCUAAGUUUUAUUUUAGUUAAUAGUAUAUAUAUGGUAAUAACUAUAAGAAAAUUUAUUAUUGUAUUUAAAAAGUAGUUUUUAAAGAGCAUAAUAUAUCCUUAUUUUUUGCUUAUUUAUUUCUUGUUUUUCAGCUAAAUAUUUUAAUCAUUUGCACUGCUGAUUUUUCACUGUUUGUCAGCUAAAUAUUUUUGAUUAUUUGAACUUGUAUAUGUGUUUAGUUUUUUUUAUUUAACACCUCGUUUCCAUUGUCAAACAGUAACAAUUUAUGUGCUUAUUUAUACAAUUAACAAAACAAAACAAGAUUCCUGUAACAAAAAAAAACUAUUCACAUUUGAAAAUGAAUAUUGCCACCCAUACAAUCUGAUUGUUUCAUUAUUAUCUUUGAAUCUUCUAUUAGAAUUAGUGGUGGUCCUUAACAUAACGAAAUGAAAUAUUAGACAAAAUUUUCUACAUUUUUUGUAAAAACAUUUACACUGUAAAAAUCUCCAAAUUUGUAAAAAGAAUUUUUUUGUUAAAAUCUUGCAAAUGGCCCCGUCCCUGAUUAGAAUGUGUGAACUAAAAGCUGAAGUAAAGUAGUGCUGCCUCUGCUGGACUCUAGACAUGAAGUGUUGUGUUUAGAGAUAUGUGCUAGCUUUGCUAUAAGCUUGUUUCAUUGUGAUCUCUGAGUCUUCUAUUAAAAUAUAGUUUUAUUAAUCACAACAAAACUCUAAAUUCUUCGUGACUCUUAAAAUGUAACAAUGUUUUCAUUGUCUCAAACACUAAAUUUAUGUGUUUGUUUAUCCAAUUAACAAAGCAAAAAAAAACUAUUCACAUUUUAAAAAGAGAAAAAGACCAAAAUAGCACUAAAUCAAGUUUUUGUUACCAAACUAGCACUCAGUUAAAAGUCACAAAAAUAACACUCAAGGGGUGGGGUUUAGGGUUUAGAAUUUAGGGUUUAGAAUUAGAGUUUAGGUUUUAAGGUUUAGAGUUGAGAAGUGAGGUUUUGGGGAUAAGAUUUCAAAUUUUGAAAAAUAAAAAAAUUUAAAUUUUUUAAAAGAUAAAAUGCUAUUUUGGUCAUUUUAGUUUUUGAGUGCUAUUUUGUGAUAUAAACUUAGAAAAGUAUUAUUUUGGAGAUUUGCCUUUUUAAAAAUAAAUACGAUAAAGGUGGCGCGAUCUGAUUGGGCAUGGCCUGCAAAGAAGAAGUCCCUGGGUCCAUCUGCUGUGAGUGAAGUUUCGGACCUCCACGUCUCCGGAUAAAGAUCCACGUCGUGACACGUCAUCAUCUCCUUCGUUCGGCUCCUCUUAAUCAAAUAUUCUCCAAUUCGUCUCCAAACCAAAACUCCGGAAGCUUUCAUGGUAGAUGGCGGUUAAGCUACAUCGACCGGGUCUUAUAUCGCCAACGUAAGGCUCUCAUUCUAUUUGCUUUUUGAGCUUCUUCGAUUCCAUGGUUCUUAUCGUGAAAUUAAUUACUCGUCGUGAUGUUCAUGGCCAUGAACUUGCUUGUACUUAGCGUGAAUUAGGUUUUCGAAGCUGAAGAUGAAUGUUGUUUCUGCUCUAGUAAACUCUUUUGUUCGGGGCUGAAUCGUCCUGUGAGAAUUUUAGUAGUUGUGUGCAAUUCAAGCGUUGGGGGUAGUUUAAUAGGUAGAGAGAUUUGGUUGCUUCUUGGUAUAAACAUCAAAGGUUGGGGUGAAGACAAUAUAUAUUAUUUAGCUGAGCUUUCAUGUACAAAUCGCCUGAGAAAUCUAGUAUCAUGAAUUUGAUUUUAUUGCUUUUGUCAUUCAUUAGUCUUCUUGCCUUUGUAGCUAUUCAAACCCUUGUCUAUCGCGGAUGUCCAUUGGAACUUUUAUAUCCUGCAGAAGAGUGGUGGAGUUGGAUUACACAUCGAACUUCUCCGGGAACUCGAGUAGACGGUUGUUUGUAACCUACGAUGUUCUGGAGAGUAGGAGCUACUGUUUUCGUAGGAGAUCGUUUGGAAACAAGAAUAUAAGAGGGUAUAAAUUGCGGAGGAGAAUGCGGCCUUUUCUCCUUGCAUCAUCUUCUGACGACGGUGUGGCUGUUAAUGGGACUCCCCAGCCGAGAGCUAGCGAUGAUGUUGAGGAGAUGAGGGCUAAGCUCAGUGGAUCUCUACAAGAUGAGUACAACUGUGAUGAACUCAUUCAGUCUUUGCAUGAUGCUGCCAGAAGUUUUGAACUUGCACUUAAAAAGAAGAUUUCCUCUUCCAAAUUACCGUGGUUUUCAGCAGCUUGGUUGGGAGUCGAUAGAAACGCGUGGGUUAAGACAUUUUCUUAUCAGGUAUGUACCCAUUUUAGUUCCACUUCGGUGUUUACCAUCCGAGUGGUUACAGUUGUACAUUAGCUUCCACAGAGUAUUUCUUGUCAUAUUUUUAGCUAUAGCUCAAUUCUUUUUUUACGCUCGUUCAUUCUCAGGCUUCCGUGUAUUGCUUACUACAAGCUGCAAAUGAGGUUUCAUCUAGAGGAAACAACAGAGACAAUGAUCUUAAUGUCUUUGUGCAAAGGAGGUACUGUCUUAGGAGUAUGAUAAUCUUCCUAAGAGUUUCCUUUUGAAAUGUUUCAAAAACUACUAGUUACUGUCUAAAUAAUAAUCCCAUACUGUUGCUUAUGGUUAUGCCUGUUAUGAUGUUUAAAUAAUCAAAUUGUGCAGUUUAUCACGCCUAGCUGCUCCCCUUGAUAGCAUGAUGCGGGAUAAACUAUCUUCCAGUCAUCCUGAAGCCAACGAAUGGUUUUGGUCUGACCAAGUUCCUCCUGCUGUGACAUCUUUUGUGAGUUGUUUUGAGGGGGACCAACGAUUUGUUGCUGCUACUUCUGCGUAUGUGAUUUUUUUACUCUUCAUAUUAGUUAGUAAUGUGAAAUACUCGUUUGACUGUAACAUCUUUGGAAUGUGAUGAUGCUUUAUGGUUCAUUCCAGCUACGCCAAAGGCAAGUCCUCAGCUGCAAGCAAUGAGACUGAAGUGUCACUUCUCAUGCUUGUGCUCAAUUGCAUUGCCGCAGUCACGAAACUUGGCCCAACAAAACUUUCGUGCCCGCCCUUCUUUUCUUUGAUUCCGGAUACUACAGGAAGAUUGAUGGACAAAUUUGUUGACUUUGUUCCACUCCCUCAGGCCUAUCAUUCAAUGAAAAGCCUCGGUCUGCGCAGAGAAUUUCUUGUUCACUUUGGACCACGAGCAGCAGCCUGCAGAGUAAAAAGUGAUUGUCCUACAGAUGAGGUUGUCUUCUGGGUUGAUCUUAUACAAAACCAACUGCUUCGAGCUAUUGACCGGGAGAAAAUAUGGUCAAGAUUAACAACGUCUGAAAGUAUCGAGGUAAUGAAUAGAGAGUUACAGUGUACACAUUUAAGCAGCUUUUAAAAUCUCUGUCCAGUGAGCAUGUGAGCUCAUGAUAGUAUUUGAAGAUAUUAGAGUUAUGUGCAAGUAUAGUUAAUAUAAUUGCUUGUUUAAAUUCAUUGGGGAAAACAACCAAUUCUAUGUUAAGUUGUUGGAUCACUUUCUGUGCCUUCUCUUGUAAGUGUUGUUUAGAGUCUAAAAACGUGGCAGAAACAGUUCGCAAGUGUAUAACGAUUCAUAGUGUGUUUAGAUUGUGAAAGUGUGCAGUAACAGAAUAUGGUUGAAUACUUUAAUGUAAAUAUCUUGAUAGUUUAUCAGGACCGGUUACUGUUUCCUUGCAGGUUUUGGAAAGAGAUUUAGCUAUUUUUGGAUUCUUCAUUGCCUUAGGCAGGAGCACACAGUCUUUUUUAGCUGCAAAUGGUUUUGAUGCGCUGGAGAAUCCUAUGGAAGACCUUGUCAGGUGACUCAUUAUUUUCUUCAGUUGGCUUCCCAUACUCUUCGUUCCACACUACCACUUAAACUCGCAAGCUUCUUUGUGCAGGCACUUCAUUGGGGGCAGUCUCCUCCAAUAUCCUCAACUUUCAGCCAUCAGUUCGUACCAGUUGUAUGUAGAGGUAGGCAUGAUCCAUGCCGUCAUUGGUGGAAUUAUCCUUUAACCAUUUUGAAAUCUUAUCAUGGAAAUUCAUAGUGUAGGUUGUCUGUGAAGAACUAGAGUGGCUCCCUUUCUAUCCAAAUAAAAAGGACUCGCAGGCAGCCAAACAAGCACAUGGGCAUAAAAACAGACCAGAAGGGCCACCCAAUUAUGAUGCUCUUCCUCAAAUAUUGAAUGUUUGCUCUUAUUGGCUACAGAGCUUUAUUAAAUACAGCAAAUGGCCAGAAAAUCCUUCUAACGUCAAGGCAGCAAAAUUCUUAUCCACUGGGUAUCGUACUUGUUACUUAUCAAAUUUUUGGAUAGUUAAAUGAAUUAAUUGGCGAUCAUAUUUAUUUUCAUUCUCAAUUUUUAGGCACAAGAAGCUAAUUCAGUGCAAGGAAGAACUGGGGAUAUCAAGGUAAGCAAAAGAGCUAUAAAUGAAUAGAAAGACGUUGUGUAUCCAACUCUGUGCACUCUAUGUAGCAUGCCCUUAUUAAUCAAGUGAUUUGAUAGUGUGCAAUUGGAUAAUGUGUGAUGCAGUUUGGCAGUAACAGAAGCAGGAUUUGUUGACAUGAAUGCAUUAUCAACUGAACAGUCAAGCUCAUUUGACAAGGUCGGUAAUCUCUGUAUUGGUCAUGAAUAAUUGCUUUACUUUCCGUACACCAACUGGAUCCAGAUUUUGUUUAGCACUCCAGUUGGUGUGACUAUCAAAUGUUAUAUAGCUACUGACAGCACUUACUUCCCAGGCUCUAGAGAGUGUAGAUGAAGCUCUCGUGAGACUGGAAAGCUUGCUACAGCAGUUGCAUGCGUCAAGCUCAUCCUCUGGAAAGGAACAAAUAAAAGCUGCUUGCUCUGACCUAGAGAAAAUAAGGAAGCUCAAGAAAGAGGCCGAAUUUUUAGAGGCGUCUUUCAGAGCCAAAGCAGCUUCCCUGCAAGAGGUGUGUAGUGGUUAUAUCAUAUCUUUCCUUUCAUGUAGUUUGGAUUGAUAUUCAAGUGCUGAUACUGGAGUUUGCUAGACUAACCGAAGAUACACCAACAUUUACCCUUUUUACGAAGUGUAGCAUCAGUUUUGGUGCUUGUAAUAUGAAAACAAUGAUGAUGAGUGCAUUUCAUUUUAUUAAACGUGUGUGGAUGGCUAAAAUCUCAUGUGGUUCACUCAGGGAGGUGGUGACAGCAACUCCCAGGUGUCCUCUGAGGAACAAAAACAGAAUCUAAAAGGAAAAGACACAAAGAAUUCAAUUAGCUCUGUAGAUCAAGGCACAAGGUAUGUUGCAUGUUCUGUUAUUCAGUAAUAUCUUCUGUGUUUAAGUAUAAGUUGUAGGUUCCCCUUCGUUCUCUUCUGGUAACAGAAACUGAUUUAUUCUUUUCCAUCUAUAUUAGUAGGAGUCGUGGAUUCUGGGGUUUCUUUGAGCGCCCUCCAAGGAAGAAGCCUGCCCCCAAGGUAUUGUCUAAUUUCUUAUCUUAUGCGAAGCAUAUCUUAUACCUAAUAUUUUUUGGGAAUAUUUCUGCUUAUUCAGUCUCCACCCAGUGAGAAGAUGCAUUGUUAAAACUUAAAAAAGGUUUCAUUUUUUUUUACAAUACGCAGGUAGAUGAAUAUACUGAGAGGUCCAGAGAAAACGUAGAUAGCGUUGAUUCCGAAUCCAGUGAGAUUUAUCGGUUCGAACUUCUAAGGAAUGAACUGAUAGAGCUGGAGAAGCGGGUCCAAGGAAGUACAGAUGAGUCGGUAGAGGAAGAGGUUAGUUAGUAGUAACCAGACUUUGUGUGUGUUCUUUCCUUCAUGUUUAAAGUUUUUAACAUGGUAGCCGAUGAUCAUUUGCGUCUUUCUCACGAGUACUAGCUCAUAUCACUCUGUUCCUUGACAAUCAAUUUUGCACGUUCUGCAGGGAAAAACCUCUGGUGAUCCUACUCCGAAAUCAAGCAGUAGUAUGAAAGGUGUGGAGUUGGUUCAAAGCUCAAAGAAAGAAAGCGUCAUUGAGAAAACACUCGACCAAAUUAAAGAAACAAGCACAGUAUGAAAGUCAUUCCAAGUCUCAUGGCACCUGCAGCUUCUUUUUAUCUACUUCAUGAUUUAACUUCUAAAAUUUCACUUUACUGUGAUUUUUUUGAUAGGACGUGUGGCAAGGUACGCAGCUUCUUGCAUUUGAUUCAGCUGCCGCUAUGGAGCUGCUUCGGAGGUCUGUAAUAGGAGAUGAAUUAACAGAGAAAGAAAAGAAAGCUCUGCGCAGAACUAUUACUGACUUGGCAUCAGUUGUUCCCAUUGGUGUUCUUAUGCUUCUUCCUGUGAGUAAAAACUAACCUUAUCAGAUUCACAAAUAUCAUACUUCCAUCCCCAUUGGUUGUUCAUCCUUGUAAAAAAGUUUCUGUUUCACAACUUAUCAUUGGCACCAAAGUCGCCUUCACCGUUAAUUUUAACUAAUCUAAUGGGUACGCGUAUGUCAAACAGGUCACAGCAGUGGGUCAUGCGGCUAUGCUUGCCGCAAUUCAAAGAUAUGUACCAGGCUUGGUAAUACUUUUUUUUAAUACUUGCUUUUCUCUCCUGUGUUGUUUUUUUCUUUCUCUGUUCCCAUUGGAAGUUGACAAACAUCUGUCUUUGUUCAGAUACCUUCGACCUACGGACCAGAAAGGUUGAACCUAUUAAGACAGCUGGAGAAGGUCAAGCAAAUGAAAAAUGAAACAGAGCCUGAGGAAGGCAUCGAUGAAGCAGAAUCAUGAACAGAUUCAAGAUGCAAAAAAUCAGUUUAUACAUCACCUUGUUCUAUAUAAUUUAUUGACAAGAGAGGUGUGCAUAGAGAAUCUCAUUCCAUAUGUGUCUGUGUACGCCUGGUAGGCACCAGUGGCUGCAGUCCUGAGGAGCAUCAACAAACAGGAGUACCACUUGAGAACCAUCUUACCUAUAAUCUCUGUCAGAUACGUAAAAUGUUGAGAAACUUAAAACCUUACUAUGUUGAUAUCUCAUAUCAUAGAUAUAUAUCUAUUGCGAGUUGUAUCAGGUUCCUUUUGUCAGUCCAUUACACGGUGUCGAUCAAAUACAUUUUUGACUAAACCAGAGAACAGAAGAUAUCUCAUACACAUCAGCUAAACCGGAAAAUUAAUCAUUAACUAAACCGGAAACAGAACCGAAACCUAAACCGAACAUUUAAGCCAAAUCUCAAAUAGAGAUAACCGGCGACGGUAAGCUCAACUGUGCGAGAACAGAGCUGCUACCGGCGACUGUAAACGGCUCUCCGGGAAAAUGAAGCUAAAAGUUGUGUAUCGCAAGGUCUCCGAUUACAUCCGUUACGAUCUUAAAGAGAUAGUCUUACCUUCAUCACUUCCCGAUCCACCUCACGUCGUCAAACGCCGCAAAUUGACUUGGCACGAACGAUUUCUCGUGAGAUUCCUUCCUAUAUUCCUUUGAUUACUACUCUCUUCUUUGAUCAGAAAUUUUCUUCACAAGAUGCUAACCAGUGAAUGAAAUGUUUACUUUUUUUUUGUAAAUUAGGUGUUGAAGGAAGCUUCAAGGCUUUACGGUGCAAGCUGGGUACGAGACAUAGGUCCCGAGCUUCGUCCAAACGAUUACAAGAAGCAAGGUGACGCUGAGCCCAAGAAACAAGCCAAAGAGACUGAGAAAGAGCCCUCUGUUUUCGAAGAUCUUGGUAAGCCCUCUACUAUUCAUAUUGAUUAAGUGUUUUUCAAUCUAUAUUUUUAUUCAUAACCGCUUUUUUCGUUUUCUGUUUACUCUUUGUUACAGCGGUAGCUGCAAGAGGCGGCAUGGAGACUUUAAGACCUGCCUUACACCGUGUGUACAUGACACGAGCUUCUAAUUACAAAGACGCUCUUGCAAGCUUUAUAAAAGGUUAUCAUGAGGGUGUCCAGCAAGUUAUGCAGAGCAAAGAAGAGUCUCAAGUCCCUAAAGAUCACGAAGAGGACAGCUCUAAAAAGACUUCCUGAUAUUUACUUGUUUGCUCCCAAAGUAGAUUGUAAUACUUUGCUAGUUCUUGGUUUUUGUUUGAUUGUGCUACAAGAAUCCAGAGAUCUCUCUAUCUAUGACUUAGUCCUUUGUGAAGCCUCUUCUGUCUUCUAGAAGUUAAAUACAUUAUAUAUUAAGCAACUCUAGUUAUGGUUAGAAACAGUUUCAGACUUGUAUAAUUUCUUCUUCCCAAGUUAAAAGCAUUGUUGACCUUAAGAGAUAGUGGAAUUAAAUCCAUGCUAUAUGUAACAGUCUCCCAUAAUGCUGUUGUAGGAAAGUUUGGCUAGGCCUUGAAGUUAUCAAAAAGCAUAGAUAUCAGAUAGAUUUCAGGGAGCCCUCCAUUCAAAGCUGUACUUUAAGUCUUGUUAUGAUCAAAACUUUAUCUGCAGGAGCCCUGAUGCAGGAGAAGCCACUGAGCAUCUUAAAACUGUAGCCAAAAGCUUGAAAGACUAGUGAUAAUGGCACAUGUCUUGAGGGCUGAGGGGUCCCUCUCCCACUUGUUGAGCCACUAAACCCUUUGGGCGGAGAUAUCAGUUUUUGCCUUCGAGUCAACAAGUAUCUAUCCUGAAUCUGUAUGGGCCCUUAAGAGAGUCACCUGUGGCUCUAAGUAAGAUUAAAGUAUAUUUAGAUUUAACUGUUGAAUAUCAACCCAUGCUGUCAAGUCAAAAAAAUGUGUCUGCCUUAAAGAUUAGAACUUGUUUGUUACUACUGCACUCAAAGUUGGAGCAUGUGCGCAUACAACCCCUAGCAUUUGUAGUUAGUGAGUGGUCAUGAUAAGCAGGGUCGGCCCUGAGAUUUGGAGAGGAUGGCAUGUGAUUGUUGUGUCUAUCUAAAAAAUGUUUUUUACAUAUUUGGAGGGGCAAUUGUCAAUAAUAGCACCUUUUGAAGUUUAUGUCUCAAAAAUAGCACUAGAAGGAGAAAGUCACAAAAAUGACAUUCAUUAAAGGGUAAAAUAUCCUUAAUACCCUUGGUUUAAAAUUAAAUAAACAAACAAAAAUAAAUAAAAAUAAAUAAAAUAAAAAUUAAAAAAAUGAAAUUUUUUUUUUUUUAUAGUUUCAGAUUAUAUGUUUUUAGAUUCGAAAUUUUUAUAAUUUUUUUUCGAAUUUUUUUUUUUUUUAAUUUUUUUUUUUCAAAUUUUCUUUUUAUAAUUUAAAAAUACUUUUUAAAACUGUUUUUUUAAUUUUUAUUUUUUAUUUUAAUAUUUUUUUUUUAUAAAAUUUUAAACCCUAAUUCCAAAACCCCACCCCCUUAACUCUAAACCCUAAGGUUUGGAUUAAUUAACCCAAGGGGUAUAAGUGUAUAUUUACCUCUUUAAUGAAACCUAUUUUUGUGACUUUGAACCUUGAGUGCUACUUUGGGAACAUAAACUUGGUUUGGUGCUAUCCUAGUCUUUUUCUCUAUUUGGAGUUUAAAUUUUUUUAUAAAAUCUAUUUGUAUGUAAUUUUUUUCAAAAAAAAUGAGCAUAUUUUGAAUGUUUCACUUAGCAUGGUCCAGGACCGGCCCUAAUGAUAAGGUUGUAUUGUUUCCAUCUCUGUUAUGGAACCUUUCUGUCUAAUCAAGACUUAGCUUUACUCCAUUGGUGUUAUAUGCAGAUAGUUAUUGCAGCAAUACCAUAUGUUCAAGGCUAUAAACCCCAUGUGUUUAUGGUUUCUUGAGAUCGAAAGUGAUGUAGAAAUAAUGUACACUAAAAAUUCUAUAAAUUAAUAAUUUUUUUGUUUCCGAAUUAGUAUGGCUCAAAUAUGAUAAAAAUUGAUAAUAUAAUAAAAUAAUAUUUUAAAAAUAUUAUGUAAAUAUAUAAUCUCGUUAAAAUCAUAAAUUAAUAAUUUUGUACAUAUACAUUUAAUUUUGUAUGUGCUAGAUAAAUUUAUCAUUGGAUCAUACCAGAAUCUCUUUUUGGAAGCACAUGGAAGUGGAUAGCCGAUCCAAUCACCGAUAUUUAUAUAUAUAUAUAUAUAUAAUGAGAGGUAAAGAUUGAAGAGCACUAAUUAGUACAUGAAAAAAGAACAGGUUCUUGUAGGACUAUCUCAAUUGUAUAGACUUCCUCCCUGAGAUAAAAUGCAUAAUUGUAUGAAUAGUCAUACAUAAUAUACAUGACUUAUUCAUGCACUACUUCCAAUUAAAUGACAAAAUAUAUUAUAAUCAUUUGACUUGAUUGAUUUGAUAUUUAGUUAAAAUAUUGAAUUGAAGUAUUGAACCAUGCCUUACAUGUUUGGUUCACUUGCAAGAGAAACUAUUUGAUCAAAAAAAAAAAAGCAACUCCAAUAAAAAUAAAUUAUCAUUUGGUUGGCCCACUUUUUCUAUAUUAAUCUCAUCAGUUUCCAAUUCCAUCUUUCACCAGAAGAAAAAAAAUCAUCAUCAGACAAGUACAAGUAUACACCAUGAUGCAUGUGUGUGAAUACAUCAUCUGAUCAUCGUCAUCAAUCAUCGUGAGAUGUAUUCAUUUCUUUUUCCUUCUGACUUUGGAAGUACAAGGACAAAGAAAAGAGUUUUCCUAAAAUUCAGCGAUCUGUUUUCUCCUUUCUAAUUUAUUUUUCCUAAUUAUUUACAUAUACGGAAGCCAAUGAGAUAUUUUUAUUAAAAAUGCAUACAAAUUUUCCAGAAAAUUGGCAUCUGUGGCUAUAGAGAAUGCCGAAAGUCUUGGUCAUUUCUUGUCACGUCUUUGGACCUCUCAUCCUCGUCUAUCUCCAACCUGCUUCAUCGUAUCUCCCGUGAAACCUAUAUUCUGUUUAUAUAAAUUAUUCCAAAUUUUUUUUUUUUGAUCAAAAAUUAUUCCAAAAUUAUCACUCAUUGUUUUAUUACAAAGAUAUUGUCUAACAUGCAUAUAAUAGUAUCCACUCUUGAAUACAAAACAUCAAUUUUGUUGUACACAUUUCCAAAUCAUGUUCUUUUUUUUUUUUUUUUUUUAAUUUUUGAUUUCCUACUUUUUUGAGGAAAUUUGUUAUUUAAAAAAUCCAAAAAAUUUUUUUUUUUUUUUUUUUUUUGAAUAUAUGUUAAAUUUACUCAAAAAGAAAAAUACACAUUGUUUGCAUCAAGUGCUACAUAAUUCUUAUGACGAGAAAGAUUCUAAAAAAACAGCUCCAUUGUUAGCGUGUGGCAAGCCAAUCGCUUAAGCUUGCAGCAUAAGUAAAGUCCCCCAGCUGCCUAAAAGAUAAACAUUUGUUCCUGAUUUGCCUGUCCAGCAUCUUUACUAAUGCUUGAACUGAGAUCGGAGUUGCCCCGUGCCGUCUAUCGUUUCUCUCACGCCAUAGAGUAUGUAUGGUGAUCUGAAACGCAUAUCGUGUAAGAAAGGUGGUGAUCAUACCAAGACUGUUGUCAAGCGUGAGCUCCAACACUUCUGUCCAUAGUGUUGUGUAUCGAGUACGCAGCAAACCUCUCAUCAGCUGAGACCAGACAGCAGCCGAGUAAGUGCAAGAGAAAAAUAUAUGAUCCCUAGUUUCAAACUGGUUACAGAAGAUACAUGCCGAGCUAACUCCUGCAUUCCACUGAAGCAUACGGUCUCCUGUUGAGAGCCGGUUGUGUAGAGCAAGCCAUGUGAAGAAUGCAAACUUUGGAGUAUGAUGUUUGAACCAGAGACCUUUGCACCAUUCAACUGUGGUUCCUUCCUGAUGGAGUAGAUUCCAUGUAUUUUUUGUAGUAAAGACAGACUUGUAUGUAUCAGAAGAACUCUUCCAGAUAGAGUAGUCAGCCGCAUUUGUUAGAUUACUCCUCUGAUGCUCCAGAACAGCCUCAAUACUAUUGAAAAUCUCACUGCGAUGAUUUCGCCGGCGUCGUUGCAGAGCCGAAGAGACAGUCGCAGUCAAGCGGAUACCCAUGUCAAUACAACCUCGGGCCCCCGUGAGAUCAAAUAGACAUCCUAGUGAAGACCAGGAGUCAAACCAGAAAGAUGUUUGAUUACCAUCACCUACCUUCUUGCGAUGAAAUUUUUUUGCAAUGUCUCUGUAUUUUAAAAGCUUCCGCCACAUCCAUGAACCUGCAGAAGUUGUGUUUUUCACUGUCCAGAAAGUGUCUCUUUUAAGCAAGUAUGUAUGUAUCCAUUUGCUCCACAAAGAAGGUUGAGCAGAGAGUAAUCUCCACACCAGUUUCAGACAGAGCACCUUGUUCAUUUCCUUGAGUGAUCUAAGGCCCAGACCUCCUUCUUUCCUUGGUAAGCACACAACAUCCCAUGAUACUUUCGCUUUCGUUGUGAUUAGAGAAGGUCCUGACCAUAAGAAAGCUGAGCAGAGACUAUCAAUCUCCUUGAUACAUUGACUCGGCAGCUUGAAACCCGUCAUCCAGAAGUUUACAAUACUCAUCAGUACUGAACGAAUGAGCUGCAGUCUCCCAGCCAUGGAGAGAAACCGGUUUGUCCACGUAGAGAUACGGCUCUUGAUCUUUUCAAUAAGCACUUGAUAGUCAGUCGCACGCAUCUGUCUAGUAAGCAACGGUAGACCCAAAUAGCGCACCGGUAACGUACCCGAAGCAAAUUCAAACCGGUUUAUCAGCUCUUCUCGUUCUUCCUCAGAUAUUCCAGCAUAAUAUAUUGUUGAUUUCUCCAUACUUAUCCUUAGGCCAGAUAUUUUCGCAAAGUAAUCAAACACAUCCACUAUACUUUCAAUUGAUCUUACUCUCCCAUCCGUAAAGACCAUGAUAUCGUCCGCAAAACUUAAGUGUGUGAGGCCCAAGUUCUUACACUUAGGAUGAUAACCGAGUUGAUGUCUUUGGGCAGAUCUGUCGAGAAGCUUUGACAACACAUCCAUGCAUAUGACAAAGAGAUAUGGUGAAAGGGCGCAUCCCUGUCUUAAACCCCUCUCACUUUGGAAAUAUCCAGCAAGCUCACCAUUCACCUGAACCGAAAAGGAUGCCGUGGUGAUACAAAGAGAAAUCCAAUGAAUAAAUUGAGCUGGAAAAUUCAUAGCCUCAAGAGUUUUCAAGAGAAAACUCCAUUGAACUGAAUCAAAAGCCUUGGAAAUGUCAAUUUUCAAAGCACACCGCUGAGAGAUCGAGUCCUUAUGAUAGUCUUUCACCAACUCAGUAGCUAGUAGGAGAUUCUCAAUAAGUAGCCUGCCUUUUACAAACGCAGACUGGUUCAAAGCAAGAAAAUCUGGAAGAGUGUGCUUCAGUCUGUUUGCGAUGAGUUUGGAGAUGACUUUAUAAAUAACAUUACAGCAAGAGAUCGGACGGUAAUCUCUUCCAAAUCAUGUUCAUUUUCUUUUCUAACAGUUUAACAUUUCCUAACCAUUGUUAAAAAAAACUGUGAUUAAUUUAUUAUCGUAUCUAAAACUAAUGAAAGUGGGCUCUAACAAAGUGGCCAUGUGCGACUGCUCAAAAAGUCUCUUAACAGAUUCCUGAAUCCUCUUCAUUGUAUUAUUAAUUAACACACCAAAAAAAUCUCCUAAUCAAUCUCGUUUAUUUAAUUAUAUGUCUCAUCUCGAGAAACAGCGUCGCCCAUGUGUAUUUAUAAUCACGUAUCUUUAAACUAUAGUAUCAAUGAUGAUGUAAUGUACCCAACUUGAAACAGAUAUAUAUAUAUAUAUAUAUUAAAAUUACCAUGUUAUGAGGCUGAGGAGUGAGGAGUGUAAUAAUUGUACAUGUUUUGGUCGUAGUAGCUGUCCUGACGAGGACACUCAGCGGCGGCUGCCGUGGCAACCGAAUCAUCUCCUUCGUCUUCAUCCAUUUGACACUCCAAAUUCACACCAAAAAGCCUCACCGUCCUCGAGCUCCCGACGGCGGAAGACGAUGGUAUGAAGUGCGUCUCCGUCGCUGUUGCUACGGCGGCGCCUGUAAUCUCGACACGUGCACUUCUUUAAUUUAUUUUAUUUAUUUUUUUGAAACUACACUUCUUUGGAAAGAAACAAAGACAAGAACAUAACUAAACAAAAAUCACGUUUCUCCCAUGAGAUUGGACGGUCUUCUUCACGCGCUCUUACAUAAAAAACUUGGAGAUAAUAAGUAAUAGAAGCUGUCGGGUCUUUUUAAAAAUUAGAAAGCAAAAUAAAAUAAAAUCAUUGCUGUAUUAUAGAAACUCAGGUUGUUAAUACGCACGUAAUAGGCAGUAUAUCGUGUACAAAAUAAAAAUAAUUAUCAUACACAAUUAUAAAAAAAUUUAUAAACAUAUAAAUGAAUUAGGUGUUUACUGUUGUAAUCCUCCCGACAACAUAAGAUUAGUUGAUGAUACUGAACACCAUUAAAUAAAUUAAAGUUAAUACGGUAAUAAUGAGAAUAAUACUUAUAACAUACCAUAGUGGGAAUACUCUGAGUGAGCAGGACGAUUAGAGUAAUUACUAUACGGUGGAGCAGUCAUGGAACUAGAAUACGACGUCGUAUUCGCGGCGGAGGAGGAGCCUUGACCGCGUCUACGCCAGCCAAUAAAGAGUCUCCGGGAAUCAGAACGUUGACGUUGGAAGAAAACAACAUCGGCUGGGUCGAGCUGUUUGUCUUUGACGUAUCUGCUCCAUCCUUUAGUCAACACGUAGCUUUGACUGCUGUUCCAGUAAGAGUAUCUGAACCUCCAGCACUUGCCUGACUCGUCUUCGAAGCUUAGAAGCAUCCCUUUCUCCUCAGCAUUAUUGGAGAUGAUGGUGUUGAGAGGGAAGUACUUCUCCGCGUGCUGUUUUGGUAUAACGAGACGGUUGAGUUUGCCAACGUCGCUUGGUGUGAGAGAUUUCUCGAAGAGAUACUCUUUCUGGUCUUCGCGGAGUGAUGUGGCGGCGGUUGUGGUUGGCUCCGAUGUGUCGGUGGUGUGGAGGUUCUGCAAGAAGAGAGUGUGGUGGUGGUGGACCUGGUGGUGGUCCGUGGAGUAAUGGUUGACUGACAUUUUUAUCAAUGGGGGAGAGCGUAGAGAAGGUUAGGUGAAAAAGAGGUGGGUACUCGUUGUACUAAUAUAGUAUGAUACGAAGGAGAGUGGGGGUAAAAAAAAAUUGACGUGAAAACUUUGGCAAAACUAUUUGAGGAGAGAGCAGCACACGACAACCAGACGACUUUCUUUUAAGGUUUUGCGUGAUGUUUUAUCUUUUUCCAUCAUUAUUACUUUUUUUCUACUACUUACAGUAUUUUUAUUUAUUCUAUUUGUCUCUCUCUAUCUAUCAUUAUAGAUUUAUAUCAUGAUAGUUGAUAGUGGUAUUUUUCCUGAACACAUUGGAUUCCAUGAUGAUCACUUCAAUUUUAUUUAGAUCUUUUUAUAGGAAAGGUUGAACAUUUUAUUUACAAUAUAUAUUAAUCUGCCAUAACUUUCAGGGAUAUGAAAAGAAAUCCUCAGGUGAGGACCAGGUAGGUGAUUAGGAAGAGGGUGAUAUAUACAAGAAAGAAGAACUAAAAGGUUGUUUUUAUAAAAAGAAAAGGUUAAGCUACACGAAACCCCAAAGAAUCAUCCCAUAUAGAGGUAGAGAAGUAUCUGAAUAGCGAAUAUUUGAAAACAAAAUGCAAUUACUGGAAGAAAAAAAAAUGAAAAUGUCAUAAUGUCACUUUAUCUAUAACAUCUUGGGGAAACCAUUAUGUUCUUUGCGUGUUUCUCAAAAUGUUCCCAAAAUAAGAGAACAAAGAUAUGGUCCUUGAUAUUUGACGCAAUUCAUAGACAUCAUACUCUUAUACGCAUUUUAUUAGUAAAAGCUAGACGUAAAUUCACAGUCAAUUGUGAUAUAUACAUAUGUUUUGGUAGUGUUGUUCAAUGCACUAACGUUAGCAUUCGCAAUCUGUGUUAGAUUUCACGUAAUUUCUAUUUAUUUUCGGCGUUGGCGAACAAUUGAAGUUGGCAUUGGCAUUAGCAAUGCACUAGUUUUUCUUAACAAUUGCACUAGUAUAUGCAGUUAUGCACUAGUAUAUAACAAGUUCGAUACAAAUUUUUGUUUGUUUUUUAAACGUUGCGUACGUGUACUAUAUUUGUUUAUCGAAUCUAUUUAAGGCAAAUAAAAAAUGAGAAACGAUUGGGAGGUCUAAGAGGUACAUAGGAGUAAAAGUCUGGCAGUAUAGCUGCCAAAAAUAUUAUAAAAACUACUGUAUUAGGACGAGCAUUUUCGAUCUUCAGCUCAGUCGAGAAGAAAAAACAACAUUUUAAAUAACUAGUAUUCAUAAUUUUUAUUUUAUGUUUUUACAUAUAUUUACUCCAUCCAUCUACCUAACCCCUGCAAAGGCUAAUAUAAUAAAUUAAAUAAAAUUAUUGCAUUUAUCAAUUUGAUUAAAUAAAAUAUAUUCUGCAUGACAUAGUUUUGGAAGAUAACAAACCCAAUCUAAAUUCUUAUUGAAAGGUUGGAGAACUUUUUCUUUUGGGAGACUAAUGUAGUUGAUAUAAAAAAAAUACAGUAUAUAGUAGAUUUAAAUAUAUACCUGUUGAGCAUUUUAUAAGUUAUGAUCAAUGGGUUAAAAAUGAGAGGAGAGUAGUCGCAAAUCCACAAAGAACUAAGAAAGAAUUAGAAACAUUUUUUUUGGUCAACAAAGAAUUAGUAACUUAAAAACUGUAAUAAUAAUAAUAUGGCGUGGGACCAAAGAGGAUGACGGAAGCAAGAUGAAGGAAGAAAGAGGUCCAACGGCUGAGAUGGCGUCUGGAUAUUUUCACACAUAAAGUAAAGAGUAACUUGGUUGAGCAUGUGCUUUGCCUUUCCCACACACCAGUCCAUGCAUUCAUCUUCAAUUCUUCUCUCCUUAUCUUAUGUUCCUUUUAUUCCCCGGAGAUUAUUGAGCUACAAAACGCUAUAAAUUUCACAUGUUUCAUUUUUGGAUAAUUUUGUGCUCUUGCAGUUAACCUAUAUAAAUAUGCGAAAACAAAUAAUAAUGGGCGUUGUUUACAUCUUCCCUAAUAAUAUAGGUGUAAUACUCGCAAAUGUUUUGUUUUUUUUUACUAAGUACUCGCAAAUGUUGUUAUAUGAGCAAAUUGUUUUUCCUAGAAACCAUUCAUCAAUGACAGCAACUAUAUGAGCAAAUUGUCUCUCAACGAGGAGAAAAAGACAUGAAGAAAUCUGCGAUGAAUAUCGUGGAGGGUGUCUAUAACCUACAAAUAUCUUUAUUUAAUUGUCCAUAAACGACAAUCUUCAUUUGUUAUUUUUGGAAAGUGGUGCAAGAAGCUUCACUGAGCUUCGAGUAAGUUGCUAUUUUCUAUUCUUAUUAUACAUAUUUGUGACAUUUUCUCACUUCCCUAGUAAAAUAGCACACUCUCUUUAUAAGUCUGUCCACAAAAUUGUUCCCUUUUAGUUGCAGUAGUAUAAUACUUCGUACUAAUAACGGAUCCACUAGCUAAUUGACCUCGUUCAAGUUGAAACCAAUAGUGUGUAUCUUACAUUAUACAAAUAUGUUAUAGGUAUACGUUGACAGGAAUCGAGGUAAAGUCAUUAAUAACCUAUAUUUUGUAUAAUAUCAUAUUUUAACAUAAAGUAAUUCUAUUAUAUAAUAACGUUUACUUUAAAUAGUAUUAUUCUAUAAUAGAGUUAUUUUAUUUUAAUAUAAAUUAUAAAUGGAAAACUAAUGUUCAAUUAGAGAUGCUCGGCUUGAUGACGUUCAUAACUGGAUGUUAAAAAAAGAGAGACGUUCACAAGUGUGAGUUUUGGGUAUAGUUAUAGACUUGUACAAAAUUAUAACAUAUACAAUAAUUUUUUGGGUGUAGUAGAUGUGCUGGAACAUAAAUAUACUUAAUAGAAUAAGUUAAAUUUUAUGCAAUAUAUAUUAUAUACACUAAAUAAUAUAAGAAAAUUAAUAUAAAUGUCAAAUUUUAAAAGAAAAUAAUUAAUGUUUAUACAUUAAAAUAAAAUAUUUAUUUUAUUUUAAAAUAAAUAUAUCUUAAAUUUAAAAAUCUAAAUACAAAUUUUUUUUGUAAAUUAAUAUAUCUAUAAAUUAAUAAAUUUUAAAGUUUCGAUAUUAUUAAUUUAUAGAGGUUCUGCUAUAUAUGUAGGGUGGAUGAUUGUUUUUACUAAAUGUACAGUGGAUGUUUAAAGUAAUUAAUAACAUAUAUACAUAUCUUUAUAUAAUAAUGUACUGAUCUCAAAGAAGGGGACCAAAGCUUGCUGCAUUUUCUUUUUUAAUUCUCAAGCAAAACUGGCCUGGAAGAGUGAGCGGACCACACAUUUUCCCACUUUUUCUAUCUAAAAAUAAACAUUCAUCUACAUUGUUCCACACUAAAGUUUACAGCCGAUUUCCUAGACUUAAACAGUUAGCCCAUGGAUAUUAAUUUCAAGUUGUGAAUUUAGAAGGCAUCAAAUUCCAAUAUUUGGAGACAGGAUCAUAGAGCACAGCUAAUAAAUUCUCCACCCGUUCCUAAAAAAUCUACUAUGUUUUAGAAUUUUCACAUUUUUUGAUAAAACAUAUUAAUAAAACUUAGCUAUAAAUACAUAUAUUUUUGUAAUUUUAUAUUUCCUAUAUUUUUUAACUAAUAAAUUUUUUAAAAAUGCAAUUAAUGUUCUUGAACUUCACAAUGUCUCAUUAUUAGUUGACAAAAAUUACAUUGAAAAUAUAAAAUAUAUACAUUUUUGAAACAAAAUUUUUCUUUAGAAUAUAGAUCUUUUAGGAACAGAAAGAGUAGUAGUAAUAUUAAAUAGUGAAAACAAACAUUAAUGAAUAAAUUAGACAUUAUAUUUUUUUUUAAUAUAUUGAAAAUUAUAUCUAAGGCUUAGAUAAUGGAACGAUUGUGUAACAUUUAAUAUCGAUUUUUCACAAGGGUUAGCAACUUUAGCCGAGUACUAAUAAUACACCCCCCAAACAUUGGAUAUCUCGAUUAGCCAGCUCUGUCCCCUCCAUUGAGUUAAACCAGUCGAGUGAACCGGCCCAUAUAUGCCAUUAACAAACUUAAUGGGCCAUUCGCAGAGUACACUUAACAGGCCCUUCCCUUGAAGAGUGGGCUUCAUGCAAACUAUCAAUUUACUAUUUCACCCUUACUUCACCAUCUGAUCCAUCAGAAUAAAACCUUAACCCUACUCUCCGCCGUCAUCAGAACCGCAAGCAGAGAGGCGAAAAGAUGGGACGCGUGCGCACGAAGACGGUGAAGAAGUCCUCUCGCCAGGUGAUCGAGAAGUACUACUCUCGCAUGACGCUCGAUUUCCACACGAACAAGAAGAUCCUCGAGGAAGUCGCGAUCAUUCCUUCGAAGCGCCUCCGCAACAAGAUCGCCGGAUUCUCCACUCAUCUGAUGAAGAGGAUCCAGAAGGGACCCGUCCGCGGGAUCUCCCUCAAGCUCCAGGAGGAGGAGCGCGAGCGCCGCAUGGACUUCGUCCCCGACGAGUCCGCCAUUAAAACCGAUCGCAUCGAGGUCGAUAAGGAGACGCUGGACAUGCUUGCCUCCUUGGGGAUGGGAGAUUUGCCAGGUGUCGUCAAGGUGGAGCCGGUCUCGGCUGCCCCUAUCGCAGGCUUUGGCCGUGGAAGGAGGUUCUAGAAGAAUCGAUCCUUUAAGUAUCUUUUCGUAUGUGUUUGUUUUGCUGAACGUUGAAUGUUCUUAUAAGCUUUAAUGUUAACAGUUGGUGAAUGCUUCGUUAGAGAACUUAGGUUGGUAGAUCAUCUAUUAUUCGUUGAACUAUAUAUAAUCAAUCUGCACACACACACUCAGACAUUGUGGAUGCAUUAUGGUUGGAGUGUGUGAGCACUAUCUUCUGAAAUCCUCAUAAGGCAUCUCUUUGUUAGAACCAUCAUCGAGUUUUGUUUGAGAAAGAAUCGGUAUUGAAGAAUGCAACCACCGUCUCCUUGAUUCCGCAUCAGUUCAACACACUCUUGAAGAUCACCACCACGACCAACUCUAAAUCGGACCUGAAGACAUACUAGAAUGUCUGAGACAGCACAUCUAAUCUGAAAAUCUCAGUUCAAAUGUCUAUAGUAUAGGAUGAGUUCUUACCUAGAUCAAGAGACCAAAACCUUAGCAAUAUCAAACAUCCUUUCUCCUUGAGAACCACUGAUACCAGAAUACACCUGAGAAUCGAAUCCAGCAUACAUAUUGUUUUAAUAGUCAAAUUGGAAGUAUUGAUCCCUUCUAGUUUAUAAUGCCAUAUAGAGAGUGAGAAGAGUAGCGGAACACACUUUACAAAUUCAUUCAUAAGAUCUAGAAUUUCUCUAGACUAUUAUUGGUUUAGAUGGUAGUUGAAUAGGUAUCAGUCAAAAUUAUAUGAUAUCUAACAAUAGACAUAACUGAGAGCUUGAGGUCCACCUACAUAACUGGUUAUUCAUAAACAACUACCAAAUUUGACUACCAAACACUGGACUCACUUGAAACCCUUCAUGGGGGUUUAUACUUACUCCCAACUCUCAUUUCAUCCUCAAUAGGAUAGCAAAUCUGAUAUUUUUAAAAAAUAUUAAUGGGUAGGUUUGAAAUUGAAAUAUUUAUUCUUUUGUCUCCCUCUCAUAAGACUUUUAAUAAAGCUAAGGGCAGGAAGGUGGUUUCACUUUAUAUAUUUGCCUGUAUUUGAGGUUCUCUGUACCAAUUCUGGUGUGUUGCCAUUUAAGUUUGUUUGCUUUUCUUUAAUUUCAAUUAAAUUUCUUUGACUGUACAUUUUUUACUUUUGAAAUUAUGAGUUUAUUUAUUUUCAAGUUUUUAUUAUAGACAUCUAAUUCAAGUUGGUUGCCAUUUAAUUUAUUGGUUACAUAUAUUAAUUCCUAUAAAGAAAAUAAAAUAAAAUAAAUAAUGGUAGUCUGUUGAGUAUUUAAUUUGCCAUUAAACACCUCUCUUGUUCUUUCCCUCCUUAGGCAAUUAAUUAACCAUCUAAUAGUGUAUACUUCAGUUCAAACUUUAUGGUUUUCUCUCUCACUCAUAAUUAAAUUAAGCCUUAAUGAACAAUCUAUCUCUCUCUUUCUCUUUUAAGUUUACUAGGGGUUGGUCCGCCCUACGGGCGGAUGAAUUUACACUAAAACUAUUUUAUAUUUAAAAUAUAUUUUAAUUUUAUAUAUAAUUUUAAAUUUACUUUAUAUUGAAAUAAUUAAAUAUAAUCUUUUUAUUCUGAGAUUAUAUUGUAAAUUUUGUUAAAUUUAAUUGGUUUGAAUUGAAAAAACCACUAAUAUAUUUAUUAGAGAACAAAAAGUAUUAAAUUAGAAAAUAGAAUAAUUUAUAUUUCUCCAUUUGAUUUGUGUUUCAAUUUGAUAUAACUGAAGAAAAUUUAAAGUAAGAAUGAGUAAUAUUUUUUAUUUUAAGAGUAUCUGAUUCUAAUAUUAUUAUAACAACUAAUUUCUUACGUUAAUAAAUUAAUACACCUACCUCUAAGCUAAAUCCAUUGAAACUUAAAUGUAAUUUGAUGAAAUUAUAAAAAGUUAUAUUUUAAAAUAAUAUGUAUAAAUUGUUUCAAUAAUGUCUUAGUAUAUAUUAUGUAACAAAAAAUGAUGUUCUUUUAAUAUAUGUUUGUUUCAGUUUAUAUUAUAUUUUCAAUUUAUAAUGAAAUUUUAAAUUUUCAAACGUCAAAUUUAAGGAUUAGAGAAAGUGAUGCAAGAAAAUAUUACUUAUAAUUUGUUUUAUUUACUAUAAGUCACAAACAGUUUUUGGAAAGUGUCAACAAAUGUAUGUUCGAUCUUAAAGAACAACCCAAAUGUAAUUCUAUAUAUGCUCGUAUUAUAAAGCACGAUACUUUAUGCAUUAUGGUUUUAUUUCGUUGAUAAAUUUGGUUAACCUUUAAUCAGAUAUUUGUGCCUCAGUUGGUUUGGAAUUUACAUGAUUUUAUAAAUUUUGGAAUAAGGUUAUUAACCUAAAAGGAUAAUUAAAGUUUAAGCUGCAUAAAUAGUGAUAAUAUCCAAUCCAAGAAAGCGGUAAGAGUUAUAAUCUAUAAUAAUAAGGCCAAGUUGAAAUCUUAAAGAAAAGGAACAAAUUGCAUUUAUAGCUUAAACAUCCACCGAAACAAAGAGAUUAAAUUAAAAAUGUAAAAGAUAUUAGAGAGUUCAAAUUAUUAGGGAAAACUAUGAUAAAGCAUUAUUUGAUAAGCAAAGCGGUGGGAAAUUGUUUAAUCCAAGUUGGUCUACUCCUGACGUGCCUUCUUCUUCAUGCUCUCACCGUUUGAUGGUGCCACAUCUUUUGCCAACUCUGCAACAUCUCCAUUGCCAUCGGGUCCAUGGUCAUCCCUCUCGUGCUCAGUUAUUAUGCAUGAUACAGUGAAGGUUUGCUGUUAGGAAGUGAAGUUGAACUCGCCCAACUUGAGCUGGAAAGUGAAGUUGAAAUCGCCCAACUUAAGCUGGAAACUGAAGGCUUUACCAACUAUUUGAUCCAAAAAUAUAUUUGAGCUUUCUUUCUUAAGCAAUCAAAUCUUUUGAGAUAGCUUAUCUUAGUGGUCAAGGGCUGCUAAUACAGUGUGUAAAUUAAUUCAGUACUCCGUUCUCCCACUCGACAAUUACAAUAUUUUAAACUGAUGCACUUCUCUCAUAAUACAAAGUGUAUUUUCCCCAUGUUUAUGUCUUUUAUCAUCCUUAUUUACGAUAGCAAGUUGUUACUUGUUAGCAUCCCAUGUGUAAAAUGUAUGAAGUUGGAAAUGCCACCGAGAAGCCGCAGAGGAGCCUGAAAUGGAACGAAACAGACGUUUCUAUAGAUGUGACACAAAGAGGAAGAAGUGGCGAAGCUCCCCUUCUUUGAAAAUCUGAAUCAAAAUCAAAUCCCCAGCCAUUAAAAGCAAUGUGAGAAUGCUGAAAAUGUAAAGCACGAAACUGAUGGUUGUCAAUUUAAUCAAGUUUUUAGUUCUUUAUUUAUGGACAGCAAGAGUUUUCCAACCCAGGUACACAAACAUACAUCUCUGAACAAACAACAACACAAUCUAAUCAGCUUAAAAAACGGCUUGUGAUUAUAGUUUUGUUGUAUGUGCUUAUCAAAGUUAUAAAAGAUAGUAGGACUUACAUUUUUCUCCAUCAACUUCAGAAAUAAUUUCAUUAAGGUCUCUUCCACCAUUAAUGUCCCUCAGGGACUGCUCCAGGGCUUCCAUUGUGAUAUAUCUGGAAACGGAGACCAUGAUUUGUUGAACUGGUUUUACCUAUAAUAAAUUGUUAUGUGAUAAUUACUGUACUUACCCACUGUUGUCUUUUUCAAAGCGUUGGAAGGCUGAGAAUAUUCUUUAUAGAACUCCCUACUUGCAAGAGUACCAGACGUAGCGUUUUGCUUGGCCAUUGGUGGUGCUUUUGAUCCGCCUAGCAUGUCCUCGUUCUUAUUUAUUCUUUCACUUUAACUAUCGAGUAUGUUGAUGUGCAUUGUUCCGUUACCGUCUCCAUUAGCCUAUAUAAGACAGGGAAAAUCAGUUCUUUUGGCAUCUUAAUAUUAAUAUAAAGAUAGCACUCUGCAGGAAAAGAAUAGAAUUUUAAACCCUCAUAAAAUCUUUUUUUUUUUUGAACACACCCUCAUAAAAUCUAGUAGUCAAUAACAAAAGGUUUCUUGACAUGUUCCAAGCAAUCUUAAAAACCCCACCGUUUUGCAGCAAAAGAGUCCACCAAAGCGCAUAUUUUCACCAAAUACAUGAGAGCUUACACAUGGGAAAAUGACCACAAGAUUUCCAUCGGCAGAGCCACACCAUAGAAAACGGUCUGUGGCUCUCUGGUUGGAUCUCGAAAUACUUUACUCUCCUAAUCAUAUUUACCAAUUUCCUUCAAAACUCAGAAAUGUAUAUUUGACAUGAAAUCUAAACCAAAAAUAUAAUAUGAGAGGUUACAUUGCAAACAGAGAAGGAGAUGCGGUCUAACCUGGAUUUCUGAUGAGUAGUUGUGAACCUUUUCGUACUAUUUCUGAAGUUCAGGAUAUCGUAUUUUUCUGCGGACCUUUACUUUGUGUCUUACAUGUGAUUAACUGUAAACAGAAACAUAGAAGAUAGUAAACCGCAGCCACCAAUCAGGAAUUUUUGUAAGGUAAUGAACAAAUAGCUUUUCAAAGAACUCUAGCUCUAACAUGUUCUUGUGCUUCGCUGGCCCUCGCCGUAAUUAUGGUCAUCUUGCAGCAAACUAUUAUGAUAGAAACUAUCUAGUAGCUUGCUUACUGAGACACAAAGUAACUGGCAUCAAAUAUUUUCCAUCACUAUACAGAAACCAAAUAAAAGGGUUUUUUACAAUUCUGUUCUAAAAUUAACAACCUGCAACUAAAAGAUUACAUCAGCACACAAAAGUUACAGCUUUUUAAUACAGGACUAACACCUUAAGUGAAUCACCAGCGACUACUUUUUCUUAAUCAUCCAACCCCACAACAAAUUGGAACUUUGUUUUGUUAAGAGAUUUGUAAUAAUUGACAGACGACCAAAUAAUUUGUAUUUACAGAUCAGACCAAGCUGAUUUCAUCAAUCAAACUACUCAUCGCGGAAAUUUCACUACACAGACUCGUUUCUUUUUUUUCACAAAGUUAUUGAUUCAAACGUCAUAGUUAAGCUGAACGUAAUUGGGGUGAAAAUGGUACCUGGGAGAUAAGUCACCAGCAGCAACUUCUCUCUUCUGCGCUUCUGCUUCAACAGCAUCUCAAGGCCAAUUAGGAGGCCUCCUGUCACAAUGUUUAGGGUUUCUUCAUAUUCACGUCCAGGAAGAACGUCGUUGAGAAAAGAGAGAAGUCGGAGCCGUCGAUGAUGAUCCGUCUUUGAAUUGGCUAUUGUGUUUGCUAGGAGUCGCAGCCGCCAGUUUUUUCCCGUUUUUUAAUGGGUAAAGGGAAACUGAGAUAAGGUUAGAGUUUCAUGCUGGAAGAUGAGAGAGACGAAGAGUCGAAACAAAGAUAUGAAUAUUAGCUGAUUUGUAUAUUAGAAUGAGCUGGCAAACACUGAUUGGCUUGAAUAUUUAAUCUGACGUGGAUAGUUUAGAAUUGGAGGAUAUCCAACUUUUAGUAUAGUAUAGAUGUCUGUGUUCUUUCUUGUAUAUAAAGACCUAAGCUGAAGCAACCCAACCACCAGUGAGAAGAGAGACUCUUUGUGAUUGAAGUUGGAAAAGUCUUUGAGAUCACGGAAAACACUCCCUCUCAAUCCGCAGGUUUCAAGGUAUUUUUUUUCUCCGACCAAACUCAUUUUAACUUAAUCUCUUCUUGUCUGAAAUAUUUUUUCUCUAACUUAACACAGAAAGAUGAGUCGAAGAAGUCCAAAGCCCGAGCUGAAGCUGAAUCUUUCGCCGCCUACGUCAAGCAGGAGGAGGGUUGUUCGAUCUCCAAGCCGCUCUGCGACAACAUCACCUACGUCACCGCAAAGCUCGUGUGUCUCUUCGGAGAUGAACCAGGACGAUCAGUCUGUGAGGUACUCGACAAGUCCAGAGACAAGCUCGAUGGUUCUUGUCGGGUGUCCUCGUUGUCUCAUGUACGUUAUGCUCUCACAAGACGACCCUAAAUGCCCUAAAUGCAAAAGCACCGUUCUUCUUGAUUUCAACCAUGAAAACGCCUCAAACGCCAACGCUCCAGCCGCUUCUUCCUCUGGUCGCAAGACUCGGAGGAACUGAAAAGACCAGUAAAACCAAAAAUCGUUUUUGGUUCAAACAUCCAUGUCUUUUUUAUUUAGUUAUUUAUCCUUUUUAUCUUUGCGAAUGUAGCUGUUGUUUAUGAGAGUAGUGCUAAUCACGCUCCACUUUAUAAACUUGGAGAAGAAGGUAAGUAAGAGAUGAAACUAGGGUUUUCAUACUCACAAAACUUCAAAUAAAAAAGGGUGGAGCGUGAAUAGCACUAUCUUUUCUUUUUCCUUAACAUUUUUCUACCAUUUGAGGGUUAUCUAAUGGAAGAAGAAUAUAUAUGUACGUGAAAAUGUGUGUCAUUGUCUCCGUAUUCUACUCCUGAGUCUUAUAAAUCGUUUCAUCCAUCAAAGUUAUGGCAACCCUCGUAACGGAACCGAUGACUUAUAUUCCAAGGCUGCAACUGGAAUGACAUUUUUUGGAAUAAAAUCAUUUGGAAUGGAUCAUUCCAUGGGAUUCCAUAAAUUAGUUACCAGUUAUUAUGAAUGUUUUCCAAAAUCAAUUCCAUUUAUUCCAUUUUUGGAAUGGAACAAAAAAAUAAAUCCUUUGUAAAAAUCAUUCCUUUUAUUCAUGACUCUAAACCUCCGUGAAUGAAUGGAAUGUAUGGAAUCUUUAUUCCAUUUAUAAUUUCAGUUUUUAUUCCAUUUUUAACAUCAUUCCAAUUUUUUCUAUUCCAUAAAAAAUCAUUCCUUUUUUUCUAUUCCAUAAUAAAUCUUUUUUGGGUACUCUGCCUCUCAUAUGUAUAAGAGAAUUGUACUUGUUGAAAAAGCAGUUCAGAUGAGUGAAAAAAAGAAUGGUUAGAGAUCAGACGAGAACUUCUUAUUUGGUGGCCACCUUGGUAACUUUGGCCUCAUACACAAAAAUUCCCUUGUUUUUCAUGUGUUUUUUUUUUUAAUUUUUAUGUUAACUCAAAAGAACCCAUAACAAUAUUUUUGUCCUCAGCAAUUGCAUGUUUGAUUAAAGACAAAAAAAAAAGCAGACAAACCUAGGACGGGAGUUUGCAAAUGGCAAAAACAAUUAUCAGGGAAGAAAAGUGAUAAGAUGUAAUCUUUUUUUUUCAUUUAUAAUUAGCUAAACAUAGUUAGAUACUUUAGAUUAGGUGUUUCUGAGCAUGCAACGUGUAAAAUGCUAUGAUUGUAGAAUCUAUACAAAAAUCUGCCGACGAAGUACAAACAAGUAAAAAAUGAAAACUGGUUAAAAUCGAAGAGGAAAGUAGUUCAGAGCAUUUAAAUAAAAUCAGAGGAAGGUGCAUCAGUUUGUAUAUAACAGCUGUUCAAAUUGUUAAGAUUUAAAGAUCAUUAAAACCAAAAUAUAAAUGCAAUAGUAAUUGAGACAGUUGUGAAUUGUAAUGAGCGUUACGUCAGAUUAUAAAUACGACUUUAAUUUCACCUUCAUUGCUCUCUUCUAGCUCACCUCUUCAAAGAACGAAACAAUAAUUAUAUUCAUGAUGAUGCUGCGAAUUUUAUUUCAUUUCUCUACUUCUUAACUUUUUUUUUAUUUCUCUUCGUCAUUACACUACUUGGCUACUUGCCAUGUCUUCAAAAGAACUCCAUUUCUCUUCUUAUCAUUCACUAAAUGCCACCUUUCUAUUGCCGUGUUCCCUUAAUUCAAUGCUUGCUUCCUACCUCUCAUUUUCUCAGUUAUGCCCGAUCAUUUGAUUAACAUUCUACUUUCAUAGAGUUUAUAAACCCCACACAGAACCAAACUAGUUUGAUGGUAUUAACUUCAUUAGGUUAGUGGAACUGACAUAUCAUAUCAUCAACCAAAAUAUAUAAUUUUCUCAUUUCUGAAGAGAAUUAUUAGAGAGCUCGGACGUUGGGGAAUUUUGUAUUAGGCCGUUCUAGAAAAAAAAUUAAGAAGGGAACAAAAAUAUAUACUCUCUAUGAAUCAGUUAGACUUUAAAAGUUAAAAGAUUUUUUUUUUGCUAAGUUAGUUAAAGUAUUGUUGUUUGCACAAACGUUCUUGUUACAUCUAUAAGUUCCAUCAACUCUACUCUAAUAAACCAUCUAAUCAUAUUCAUGUUGUAUUGAUGAGAAACAUCCCACAUCGGAAAUAUAAGAAAUAAUCUACUACUAUAUAAAGGGUUAGGGCUAAUCCACUAAUUGCCAAUUGGUUUUGAGUUGGAAGCCCAUAAUUAAACCCGAAUCUAACAUGGUAUCAGAGCGAUAAGAUCCUUUGACUUAAUUUACUACAAUUACUACUACUAUACCGAUGUUGGGCCCUCUGUGGAUGUUAUUCCCACAUUGUCCACGCUUCAGACCUAGAUGUCUGAGCGUGAGGGAGGGUAUUGAUGAGAAACAUCCCACAUCGGAAAUAUAAGAAAUAAUCUACUACUAUAUAAAGGGUUAGAGCCAAUCUACUAAUUGCCAAUUGGUUUUGAGUUGGAAGCCCAUAAUUAAACCCGAAUCUAACAUGUUGGAUGUUAGAGAUGUGUAUAUGUGAGUUACAUGAUGACGAGAGGAGACAUGUGAGUGAUGAGAAGAUUAGAUUGGCGUUUGGAGAGUGGAAUACUAGAUUUGAUGUGGACCCCUUCGCAAAUAUGAGGUCCAUCAAAGAUAUUUGAGGACCGCUCGAAGAGGUAUUUGAUCACAGCGCAAAACUAUUAGAAACGUUCUUAUUCUAUCGCAUGCAAUUGCACGUCCACAAAUAGAAAGCAUGCAAAAUCUAUCCCACUCUUGAAUUAAUAUAUGGCCAAUUACCUUUAUUAGUUAUAGACUUUCUGAUUCUUAAGAUAUAUAUCAAUGCCAGGGCCGGCUUACAAGGAGGGACAAGCGGUGCGACCGUCCCGGGUCCGAGUCCGUGUCCCCCCGUGUAAUGAUAAAUAAGGGGCUCAAUUUUUUAUAAAUCUAUAUUUUUAUAUAUAAAAAAAAUUAUAAAUACAAUAAAUAAAAUUGAAAAGGGCCCAAAAUUAUUUGAUAUGUAUAUAGUUUUAUUUUCAUUAAAAAAUAUACAAAAUAUUAUUGAUUAAAUUUUAAAAAUAUUUUAAACAUUAUCUCUAUAUAAAUUUUAGAGCGUAAAUUUUUUUUUUUUGCCCAGGGACUUCUACCAGUGUUGAGCCGGCCCUGAUCAAUGCAUAUCUAGCCUAAUUAGUUACAAAUGUAUUAUUUAGAUAAGUAUCUCGACGUGUUCACUCCACAUCCGAAAGUGUUAAUCCCACACAAUUCGCCGUCCACGGGGUUUAUAUAUUUUGACUAGUCACAGUCGUUAUAUUUAUAUCUAAGAAAAAUUAGGUUUCAUCAUAAUCACUUAUCGACAAUUCAAACAUAUUAUUCAUUAGCGUUUGUGAUCACAUUUAGUGGUGGAGUACGGAGAAACGUACGUACAUUUUAUACUAUAGUUGAGUUUUCCGGAUAUUGCCGCUGCCUAAGCGUUAGCUUUCAUGUAUUGUUCUUUAAGAUGAUCGUUAACGUCUUUGCUACUAAUACCACACAGAAAAAACUUCACCCUUAAGAAAUUUGACCAAGCUAUAAAGAGGAUAUGUCAUAAUUUUAUUUCAAUGUUUUGUUUUCUUCUAAUUAAUUAUUUAAUUUAUUGCUUCUAUAAAUGCAUUAAUACUUUUUUUUGAAACUGUUUUUUAAAUGCAUUAAUACUUGAGUGGUUGAAAUCUAAUUAUGCUAUUCUUUAUUGUGAGUGCAGUACACAUUUAAACUGCAAUAGUUUUCUUUGUAUCUUCUAUAUUUUCUCAUUUUUUACGUACAUUUUUGUAUUGAUUUAAUAUGAAGAGCAAUACUGACAGGAUAUUAAACGUAAUUUGUUUUUCUUAAUUUCUUGCAUUACCAUUAUUAAUAAAAACAAAUACCAUGAAUAUUAAUGUAUAAAUUCAAGGAGGCAACUAUUCAAAAAAGUGAAGUCGAUUCUCUCUCUAUUUUAGAGAGAGAUAAUUUUCUCUCCAUCCCUUCUUAACAAUUUCAAAUCAUUCAGAAGGGGGAGAGAUUUAAUCGACUUUUUUGUAUGUAAUAUACUUUCGAUCUUUGAUCGAUUUUGAUUUUCGCUAGGCGACCUUGUAUUUUCGUUUAGACGAUUUUGUACUGUUUUCAAACCAAUUUCGAGUUCGUGCUUCAUGUUUCUCUUUGUACCCGAGUUGGUUUGAAUAAAUAAAACUCCGACCUUGUGUUGAUCGGAAGUUAAAGUCAGAGUUUCUUCUCCUUCUGUUUCGAUUAAUGUCUAUGCCGUUGGACCUAGAGAGCCGAUUCUCUUCUUUGUUAGAAAGCUUGGUUUUUGAUUUUGAGUUGGUAUCAAUCUUUGCUUCAUGUUUAGGCAAAGUAUCCAUGGGAAUCAAGAACUGAGAUUUGGAUAUGCUUUGGAGAAUUUGAUACAGAAUUCAGAAGAGUUGGAGCUGCCCUAUAGGGUAGUGUUCUGACAAAAUUCUGUUAUUGAUUCUACUGGAGCUUUCUCUGAACUCAUCUCUAACGAUUAGAGAAGAAGACUUUUGGUUCCUCGGAGUUUGAAGGAAGAAGAACAUACAAGCUUGUUCAAGCGAAUCGGAGGCAGAGACUGAAGGUUUGUCCGGCGAGGUUUCCGGCACCGCUUCUCGUUCCUCGAUUCUGAAGUAACGAAGCCACGUUGACGAGCACGUGUCCAUCAUGGAAGGAUCGUGAUCUUUAGUUGUUGGGUUUCGUUUUGGGCAUAAUAAUGUUAAUUGUAUGGGCUUGAAUUAGCUUGUAAAACUUGCCCAUUGGACUAAUAUAAAUGCAAUGGUUGACAAAAAAAAAAAAAAAAGGAGGAAACUANNNNNNNNNNNNNNNNNNNNNNNNNNNNNNNNNNNNNNNNNNNNNNNNNNNNAAAAAAAAAAAAAAAAGGAGGCAACUAUUCGCACGUGGCAGAGAAAUAGCUAAAAUUAUGAACUGUAAUAACCUUGUGAAUAUAAGUUCUUUAAUUUUUCGUAUUACCCACAUUUUUAAGAGUUCAUAAAAAACAUGCAUACCAUGGUAAACAUAUGUUCCAAGUUUUGAACAAGAAUUGAAUUUAAAUCUACAACAACCUAACAUCAAUUUCAGUUUCAUAUCUUCAAAACUUUUUGAAAUAAGCAGACCUGCGUCUAAUUGGGCGGCUGGGCCUAAUUCUACUUAGCAGUCCACAUGCUCUGGAGAAAUUUAUGGGCUUUUGUCGAUUCAACACUAACAAGCUGAAACAGUCUCUUCUUCCUUCCAUUGUCUUACAAGCAACAGGUUGGUCAAGCUUACAUUAUAGGAUAGGAACAUGGAUAUGUCUUGGAGACUUUAUGUAAUAAUAGACUUUGAAGAAUUCAAGAAAUCAAAAACUCUUUUCUUGAUAAUAUUUUUGGAUUCUGGUAACACUUUAUUAAUGUAUACAAACACUUGUGUUCAAACGUAUAGGGCAAGCUACUUAACAAUCUGAGGAAUACAGAUUGAUCGGACAAUCCAGUCAAACAUACGUUUCAAGAACUGUAUCCCGGCGGAGAAGUGGAGCCAUACGCGGCGGAGGAACUGAGAACACCCAGGCGAGUCAUCCGAUGAAGUCAACGCCGUUGGCUGGAGAUAAGACCAAGCGGCUUGCUUAACGAGUGGGUUGCGUAUCGAGAUAUCUCCCACGGUGGAUAAAACAGGAGAGCUGCUACCGUUAAUAGACGGUAAGUUGACGGAGGAGUUACUCGGAGAUGAGAUGAUAUCUCUGAGGGAUGUGUAAGAGGGUGGUUUCAGCGAGCUGAGCUCGAAAUGGAACGACGGAGAUGGAGUUUCUAAGGUGGUGAUCGCAGGUGUCGUCGUGGAAAUGGAGUUUCUACGGCGGAGUGGAGUCGCCGGAGAUGUUGACGGUAUCUCCAUAGUCUUCUCUUGUGUUUGUGGCUGAGUGGGUUUGUGUGUAAAUAUGAGGUCUAAUGUAAUCAUUGAUGUCUAUAAUGUAGACAUUUGUCAUUAUCUUUGGCUUAUAAUAGAGAAACGUUUACUUUCUUUGUAUUUUCUGAAUAAUUAUUGAUUGGAUGUGAGUCAUUCGCCGUGUAUGAAUGAUACCAUCCAAGUGUGUAUUUAGCUCAUAAUUGCAAAAUUCUUUUUAUGUAAAGUACUUUAUAUACAGACAAAGAUAUAUUAUAGAAGUGGGUGUGAAGAUUAGAUGAAAUAUAUUCGGAUAUCCAACCAACCAACGUAAUCAUUAUUUUCCUAAUACUUGAUUAGUAAUUGAUAUCAUAUAUACCCAAUGUAAAUUGAAAAUAUUUUUAUUUCCGUUAUUAAAGUAAGCUUCUGACGUAAUUAACUCAUCCAAUAAAGAAAUGCUAUGUUUCUUUUUUGAAAAUAAGAAAUGAUAUGUUUAUAUAACAUAAAUAUUUAUUACCAUGAUAAAGUCCUAUUGUUUGACUCACACCUAAAUGAAGGCAUGUAUUACCAAUGGUGCUUGAUAUAAAACAUGAUGAAUGUAUCGUUGGGCAAGUGGUUUAGGCCACCUGGUCUCAGAAGUUAGUCAAUUAGUAAGGAAUACUAGGCCGAUAUAAAAGGAAAAGAAAUAUAAUAGCAAAGAUCCUGACCCAGUCCACUCGCCGCCUCAAUACGAUUUUGUUGUGGUGUUUUGAUGUUAGAGUAUUUGCACUCCCUACCAAAGCUUUUUAGUGUAUUUAGUUAUAUACCCUAAAAUACUGUGUGGCACUGUUUGAUAAAUGUUUUGGACUCUUCUACCCCUAUGUUAUUAUGCUACCAAAAUACUAAUAAUCUUUGUAAUUUUUUAUAGCUUUAGCAAAAAUUUAUUUUCACAACAUAUCUCGAACGAAAUCAUUUUUCUUAUUCCAAUGUCAAAGAUAUUAAUUACUUUUUGUAUUACACUCACCUCUUUCCUCUACUAAACUUGUUUUAAUACCCUCUAUCUCUGCAAAUUCGUACUCUCUCUUCCUUAUACCCAGCUUGAUACUUUGUAAUUGUUGUGUCAUAUUACUGAUUUUCAAAAGGUUUAAUGGAUUUUUCUGAAUAAGAAACCCCCACCUUCUCCCUCCUCUUCGUCGAGCUCGCGGUGGCGCGUGUAUUCACGCUCCUCAAUCUCUGCCCCAACGUGCAUGCUCGACUCCAUUUGUUGACCGAGAAGCUCGUAGGGAGGAAGAAGCGUGAAGAGAUGGUAGAAGAAUAAGCAUCAUGGAGGCAAGAGAGAAAGACCAACAAUUUUUAUCUUGAAGAUUGGUAAUGUCCACUGAAAAGAACGCUAUGGAUUGUAUUCUUUUUUGCCUAGUCUUUAAUUUUUUUUUGGUCAAAACCCACUCUUUAAUUUUUUUCCAACUAUUUUCUUUGAUUGCUCUGUGUUUUCGUACUUGAUUGUUUUCUUGCUUUAGUAGAUUUUCGAUGAAAGUUUUGAUGUAGUGGUGUGGUGUCUAUCGUUCCAAUAAAUGUUUUUUUCUUUGUUAUAUCAAUUGGUAUCUGCCCCUUGAUAUUAACUCAAGCUGACCCGCCAACUGUAUCGGAUGCUGAUUCUACAACAGAGAAACAUGAUGAGGAAUUCAAAAUUCUAUAAGCCUCAAUCUUAGUUUCCCAUUCUUCUGUUGGCAAAGAUUUUUUUUAUUAUGUUGGUAAUCUUUUCAGUCUCCUCUAACAGAUAACUCAAAACUUAACCAUCUAAUUAACCUAUUUUCAAGAACGAUCUAUAGUUAUUUUGUCUAGUGACUAUGGCUUGUGUUGUGAUGCGUUUUUCGGGAUCUGAUGUAGUCUAUUCUCAGCCAAAUGAAAAUGGUCAAGCAUGUGCUACGAUUUUUGGAAGGUUUAAUUUUUUAGCUUUUGUUCAUGCAAGUUCAUUGUUUGACAUUCUACCACAUCUCACACUGGUUCAUUUUUGCAGGCAAGUUCAGUGAUUGGUUUGAUAGUGUUUGCUCUUGUUGGAUAGACAUUUACAUUUUUUCGAGACAAUACAAAUUUUAGCCGGAUAUUAUUUUAUAUGCCAAGACCAGUUGACAAAACUGAUACAUAUAUGGUUUCAUUUAUACGGAUUAUAAAUAAAGAGAUUGUAAUGUAAAUUGAGUUAGCCGGCUACAAUAAUUUUUUGGUGUGUCGUAACAAACCAUAAAUAACAAACAGUAAUAAAUAUUUGAAUUAGAUGCUAAGAUUAAAUGUUACACGGCUAAAAUAUCUAAUAAAAUAUAGCAAUAUAUUUAUCCAACAUAUCUAAAUAUACAUAAUAAUUUAUCUUUUGAAUUAUUCAUUCAAAUUCAUUGGUAGACAACUAAUAUAUUUAUUGUUAGCCGGCUAACAUAUCUAAUUAUGUAUAACAAUUAAGGGUAUGACUGGUUUUCCCGCUACCACCCGCAAACGCAGCUUUUGCGGUUGGUAGCGGUUGCUGGCGUUUUGCAACAAUCGCUCAAACCGCUCUAAACCGCUCCAAAUCGCUCUGAACCUCAUAAAUUCAAAAGCUGGUUCCAGCUAGCGUUUGCGGUUGCGGGCGUUUGCGGGAGGAUAAAAAAAAAUUAUUUUUUUUCCAAAACAAUAUAAAUACAAAAAUAAAAAAAUUCAAUAAAAAAAUUAAACUGAAAUCAUAAAAAUGUUAAAAUAUAUCAAUUAAAUUUUAAUUAAUAUUAUAAAAAUUUAAAAUAAAAAUAUUUUCUAUAUUUUUAAAAAAUUUAAACUAUAACUUUCUAAAUAUAAAUUUUAUAUUUAUUAUAAUAUUAUUAUUUUUGAUAUUUUUAUAAUUGUAUAAAAUGUAAAUAUUGUUAAUUUAUUAUUUAACUGCUGCUGCAUUUGGUAGUUAACCAGUCAUAAGUAUCCCGCAAACGCACAAAUUUCUAACCGCAUAACCAGUCGUACAAAUCUCUUAAAACCGCUAGAAACCGCAACCACCCGCAUCCGCAAACUCCCGCAACCGCAACCGCAACCGCUGCGGUUAAACCAGUCAGGCCCUUUAUCCGUCAAAUCUAGUGCAAAAUAUUGUAAAACUAAAUAUUUAUAUAUAAUCUAUUAUUUAACUUUUAAUAAAUUAUUUUAGCCAGCUAAUUAUUAUAAUAUCAGGACAUUGCAUUUUGAUAUAGAAAUAGAAGUGGUUGUAACUCUCAAGCACAUUUCAAAACCGUAUUAUAAGAUUAGUUCACUUCGAAUAAAACAAACGCAAGACAACUAAUAUGAGCUACAAUUAUUCUGCAUUUCAAAUGAACAAAAAACUAUUAUACGAACAUUAUAUCUCAUGUCCAACAAACAAAAGUCACGAAACAUUUAAUAAAGUAUAACAAUUUAUUAAAAUUGCUAACAUAUUUAAUACCACAAACACCUAUUGUUAAACGGCUAACAAUUUUGUUUUCUCUCGAUUCAGCAUCACUUGGUCCGCCAAAAAGAUAUCCAAGAAAAAUCCUUUUCCGGGGACAGCAAGAAGUUUAGUAGAUGGCUUCUUCUGUUCUAAUCAUCAUCCAAUCAACCAACACAAUCAACCAACAACAACAACACACAAUUAUUUAUGUUUCAUAAGGUUUGAAGCUUUUGUCUUUUGCUAGAACCAGUAGGUCGUCCUCUCAUCUUCUUAACAGUAGGCAAGGUUCCCCUCCGCCGGAGCCACGAUUGUCUCUACUAGAUUGACUAACAGUGAAAAAAGGAGGUUCAGGAACAAAACACAGUGAUGUCGUUCUUGUUCAUCGUUCUUCUCCCACUUACCACGAUACAGCCAGACUAUUCAAAGACAAAAACAAAAACACAAAGGCACCACAAUUUGGUCGGGAUUCUGUAAAAAAAAAAAAGAAACAGAGGAGGAAGAUAAAGAAGAAGAUAAGGACCAUGAGAGAGAAAAAUGAAAUUUUUGUUUAAUCGUAAUCUUACCAAAAUUUUAUAAUAUUUUUAAACUUACGGGGCACCUAAUGUGACCUACAAACUCAAUAUAUCAAAGGGUUCUAAAUGUAAUUUUACAUACACUUUAUCUACAGUAACUGCCAUACUUUUACUGUAUUAGGUAUAUUCCUAAUUUCCCACUUCUUUAUGGGUUUUGAGCUAAUUGACUCUUGAUGUUAAGUGUUUUUUCAGCUAUUUAGAGGCGUUUUCAUAGAACAAACCAACAAAUGUUUGGUGAAAAGGCAGAGGCAUUUUUAUCCUUUAUUGUGUGCGGAGAGCUGUGUUUGUUUGUUUUUGCCGAAGGAACAUUCGUUUGAAAAUCUUUGUUUACUUUGUCCUCAUUUCUGCUAUCAAAUUCUCUUGAAAAUUAAUAAACAAAUCGAUGUUUCUAUGCGUAAAUACUAAACAGUUUAGAACAAGGCCAGGAAGCAGAGUAUUUGACCAAAAAAAUAUAAAAAACAUAUGUAAUCAGCCAAUCAGGUCUGGAUUUAGAUGGCUUUAAUAUUGAUUUGUAUAAUUUAAGUGCUUAAAAAGCUGAUUCAACACAUCUUUAGCAUACAACUAUUUUAUGCUGUCUACGUAUAUGUUUACUUGGAAUAUCUCAAAAUUUGAUUCUGAAUAAAUAUCGUAAAACAAAAAAUUCAAAAUUUUUAUUUAAUUUACAUGGAACCAUACAAUAAAAGAUUAUCACACAAGAAAUGCCUCUCCAACGAUAUCACACAAAGUCCAUCAUGUAUGAAAAUAAUCUAAAAUAAAUAAAUAAACAAGUGUCUAUAAAUUCAUAUGACAAUAAUAUAGUAUUGACUUUGACUAGCAUCAAAAGUCAACGUCACACUUGGUCCGCUGGAACUGAAACCCGCUGGUUGUGUUAGAAGUACUAAGAGGAACCUUGAGAUCACACCUGAUCUUCGGCUUGAACUUCCACGACUUGAUCAACCCAAACUUAAACCUAAUCUUAAGCCUCAGCUUCGCAUCGAUCCUGUAGAUCCCUGACUUCACAUCCUCCUCAAAAUCCCCCCUAUCUCCGCCGUUAAGCACCACCAAGCUCUGUCCAACUAUAUUAGUUCCAACCACCGUCGUGUUCUUGUGUCCCUGGUAGAACGGCGAGACGUUACUUGCUCCAAAACGCUGAUCACCGUAGUAGCCUCUGACCUCGAUCUGAUCAUAGUAAACACCGAUACGUCGGUUAGGGUUUCGGAUCGUGAAGUUAAGGUCGAGAUUGUAUCGAAGGUUGUUGUCCGUGCCGAGUGUGAACUGAGUGAGUUUGGCGUCGGUGACGUGGAACUUGAUGGCGUUUGGUCGGAAAAUUAGCCAGAUGAUCAGAGCGGCUAUGCCAAUGACGAUGACUAGGGUUAUGAGGAUGUUGAAGAUGACGCUUAAGAUGCAGCAGCCGCAACAGCCGAGACAGUCACCUAAACAGCAGCAUCCACCGCCGCGUCUGCCGUGGCUGUGAGAGGUUUUUGUCGGCGGAGGAAUGGAUGGCCCGUAAUACGCACCGUUUAAGUGCGGUUGCCUGUCGCCCAUGGGUUUGAUGGAAUAGUUCUAAAGAAAGUUUCUGUUUGUGUGUAAUGUUUUGAGAAAAUAAAAAUGGAAUUGUUAUUGAUUGUAAAGAUUUAAGAAAGAAGGUGUAUAUAUACUAGAGAUAGCGUGUAUUAGAUAAACCGAUUAAACGGACGCGGUUUUGUUUUUCAAAGUCAAAGGUGACACGCGUUUUUUAUAUUCUAAGGCGAGUUGAUUAAUUAGAGGUUACUUCCGAGUUACGGCACAGUUCUUAAUUCUUACAUCUUUAUGAUAACAGUUUAGUAAACAUUCAAGAAUAUUGUUUCUUAAUUUUUACUUAGAUUUUUUUCUGUUUAUUUACCCUCUUUAGUUUAGCUAUGUAAAUUUUUUGUUCAAAAAUAAUUAGUAAAUUAAGAUUAUAAUAAUUAGUUAAAUACUUCUAUUAAAUCUAGGAUAAUUUGAUUAACGGGGCAUUGGUCUUUUCCGUAUAUACGUGAAUAUUUAUGUAGUGAAAAUGGAAAUGUAUACAAGUGGGAAUGUAAGGACAUCUCCAUCUCAACUCUAUUUUUUUCUCUAAAAUGGAGUAAAAGUGAAUAUGGAGUAAAUAAUACUCCAACCCAACUUCAUAUCUCACUCCAUAAUGAAAUUUACUCCAUAAAUGGAGUAAUCUAUUUUUUUUUUGUUCAUCACUCUAUUAUGGAGUGGGAAAUAGAGUAGGGUUGGAGCAAUUUUACCCCAUUUUCACUUUUAUUCUAUUUUAGAGGAAAAAAUGGAGUUUUACAUCGGAGAUGCUUUAAUGAUCCUUUCGUGCAGUAGUUGGUUUGGGAAUUGUAAAGAGAGCAAUCUUUACAAUGUAAUAUAACCUUCCAAGAAACUUCCUUAAUUAAAAGCGAUUGCUAAGAGUAAGAUAGCCAAGCUAGUGUUUUCGAAACUGGACAAAAUUAAGACUUUGGAGCAAUAGUUAUAAAAUGAAUGAAGAAUUCAAUUAGCUCAUACAAACAUAAAAGGUCGAGAAAAAAAAAACAUGCCAGUUAUUAUAUGUGACAAAACAAACUGUCACAAAAUUCAGAAGAAAAUAUACAAAUUUAGCAAAGACUUGUAGACGAAGAUUAGGUGAAGACUUGCUUUCAUAUGUUACAUAUUUUUAAACAAGAAAGGUCAAUCAGAUUUAAUAAUAUAAAUAAUACUACAUUAGCAACCGAAUGUAAAUUCAUGGUAAAACUAAACUGCUACAAAAUCAUUAUAGUAUAACACGUAGUAUUAAAAUCCGUGACAUGAUCACAUAUCCGACACCGUUAAGUCAGUUGGUCGCUUUUCAGACACUAACACUGCAGACGGUAACGAGCGUAUACUUAACGCCUCUACCUCCUACGAUAACUCCGGCGGCGCUAUUCCCGAAACUGAUUAACGCCGGACACCUAACGAAGAGAUCAGAUGUCCUCGUAAUAGGACCGACCUUCCAACUAAUCUUCCCGACGACAUGAACCAACACCUUGACUGCACCACUUGACUGUUCUUGAACAAGAGACAAAGCGUUGGCCCGAGCGAUGGGGACGUAUUUUCCACCGAUGAAAGGAGACCAGACGUUGACUUCUUCGUAUCCUUGAUAAGCCGCCGGUAUCGACGUCGGGAGAGUGAUCUGCUGGCUCUGGUAAGAAGCGUAGACGUCGAGACGGUCGUAGUUGAUUCCUGUCUUGCCGUUAAGGUUGCGAGAGAUGAGAGUGGUUUGGAUACUGGAGGUGAGAAGGUCCGGUGGGUCCCCGGAGACGUUGAAGUAGAAGACGGUUGCGUCUUGGAGGAUGAAGCGCGGCUUUGGUGAGUGAAGAAUUACCCAAGCUAGGACAAUUCCGAUGAUGGUCACGAUGAUGAAUAUUACUAAGCAGAUGAUAUUGCGACGGAGGAAGUUUAGGAGGCGGGGUGAGUUGCUGGCGUGAGAGCCACAUUCUUUUACGGGCAUGUUGGAGUUCCGGUGGUGAUGACGGUGGUUGGUGGAAGAGGGAAGUUGAGGAUGCUAUUAAAGUACGUAUACUAUUGGUGAUGGACUCAUGGUAGGGUUUUAUACAUUGGUAUUGACAACAAAAAAAAGGAACUUAAUAAACGUAAAAAAUAGAAUAUGAUGAAAUCAUAUAGAAAAAAGCUUCAUAAAAAUGUACAUUUUUCAUUUAUGAACAAAGAAAUUGUACAUCUUUUCGUUUAAGGAAUUUUUUAUAUUUUGGUAACCUUUUUUAAUUCACUUCUUUCCUUCCAAAUGUAUAUCAAAGCUUGUUCCCGUGGCUUUGCCUUGAGAAUCCAAUUUAAACCGCAAUCAAAUUAAUCCCAAACAAACCGGAUUGCACCAGGGGUUUAUAUUUUGAUAAUAUAAUUUCUACAAAACCGGUAAUAGUAUAUGACACAAAAAUAUCAAUUUUUCAUAUAGUGUAGAGAAACGUUUAAGUAUACAAGCAGAGUGUGCUUAUUAGAAUGUUUUAGAUACGAAAUGUAACUGGAAACAACACAAGAUACAAUCACUGAAACAUUCAAGAAGUAGAUGAAGCUCUUAAGCUUUAUCUAUCAACUUGUGUUUGGCAAAGCUACGGCUGCCACUGGAGGCUCAACCACUUGGAACAGCCCUACAGAGAGCCUUCUCGUGAGAUCCUCCACUUCCACUUUCGCCACGUCAGCUCUCAUACCAAUAUCAGUAGCGUACCUACUCGCACAGUACACACUAACCGCAGUCGCCGCCAUCCCAUAUAUAUUCGUCGUCACAAGCCUCAUCGGAGUGGACAAAACCGCAGCGAUCGGCCCACCGAUGAUCGAAACAGCCUGACCGCUCUGUCCCAUCGUCCUUCUUCCUUCGAGAACAAGCAACCCGGUCUUGCAAUAUAUCGCAAAGUCCUCGCAGUUGUUCUUGAAAACGUCGUAGCAUCCAAACCCGUUCCGGAGGAGGUGGUUGGCUCGGUGGACAGUUAUCUCGUUAGGGUCGGAGACCGCGAGCGUGCAGGUUCCUCCACGGGCUUUGGCGAGGAAGUGAGCGGCGUUGACGGAGUACUCGAAGCGGUACAGGACGCCACCGGCUAGAAAACAGUUAAGGCACGAGGAAACGACGCCGUGGCCUUCGUUGGGUGGAACGCACGUUGGACAGUGCGUGUGGGCUCGUGAUGGGCCUGAGCUUACUAGUAUGAGAUCGAGAACGGUCCCGGUUCCGACUUCUUGGCCUCUUCUAGUGAAAUGGACGACUCUAUCAUCUCCAACAUAGAUACCUGACCAAAAACAUAUUAUUACAUUAUCUUGUGUACCAAAGCAUAUCAUUCAGACCACUUACAAAAUACUUAGCUUGUGAAUCAAGCAAGGAGAGGCUCAAUAUUAACCCUAAAUCAUCGUCUAACCCUAAUUUUUUCUCAAAUCGAUUUUAACACUAAAGCUAUAAUUACAUCAAAACAACGAAUGAAAAGAUAAAUUAAAUAAAUCGAAGAGGAGAAGAGUACCGUGAUGGGCAUAGAUGUAAGCAGUCCUCCACGAGUAGAUAUGAUCCCCAGGUUUCAAACUUGAUCGAUCGAUUCUGUUCAAAAGCAAACGAUACACCAAAAAUGAGAUGAUCGCAAAGUAACAAGAAGAAUUAAAGUAUAAAAGAAGAUGGAACCUGUUGGAGAGAAGACCCAUCUAUGAUCUCUUUAGAUUCUGAAAGGCCGUAGAAGAGACGAGACUGAUGCUUUUCUUAAACUUAUCUUCAAGCGAUAUAGAAUGUAUCGUGAUAAAUGGCUUUGGUAUCCGCCCAUACUUCCUUUGUCGUUAAGAAAAUAAUUAAAAGGGAGAGACGAUGGGACAGGUGCCAACAGUAGGUUUCAUGUGGCAUCGUUUCUUCUUGCUUUGAGAAUAUUGGGCCGGUGUUGAUAUGUAAUGGGCUUUUAAUUUGAUUAGGACUCAGGUGGCCCAACUUGAUUAUCGAAAACCUCUUUUUUUUUUCCUCUGGUCACAGAGAAAAAAGGCUGUAGAUGCUUCUUUUGGAGGUGACUUUACGUUCACGUAGGGCACGUGACAGUAGUUUCCGACGGAGAGAUUACACAUAAUUCACAAACCCAAAAGGUGUAUUUACUAUUUAGAUUGAUGUUUACGUCCCAAACCGACAGCUUCCUUUUAGAGAGCCACGCGUUCCUCGGCUUAUCCUUUGCUUCGAAAUUACAUUCACUCAUCUGAUACUCUCACACGUUUAGAGCCACGCGUUACUCUCACAUUUGUUCAAAAAAUUAAAAAACUCUCACACUUGUCUAUUUUAGCCUUCCUUCUCUUUAAUUUCACUGUAAGUUAAGUAUCAUCACAUAACUACAUCAUUCCCUGUACCAAAUUACAUAUGUUUCUGUUAAGUUUCUAGAAUUUAGCUUACAAAAACAAAAAAAAUGAAAGGAAAUUUUAAGCCAAGCUGAGCUGAGUGGAGAUGAAGUCAGCAGCGAACAUUAUAAAAAUU